Molecule: long non-coding RNA, 55043 nt
Filed under: Selaginella moellendorffii
Lineage: Eukaryota; Viridiplantae; Streptophyta; Lycopodiopsida; Selaginellales; Selaginellaceae
Description: long non-coding RNA (SMOE_LNC000688)
Source: RNAcentral
UUUUUUUUUAUGCUCAUUGUUCAAUUUGCUAGAAGUUGUUAGGGAAGGCAUUUUUGGCUCCUUAGCUUUGAUAUUGAAGUUGACUUUUGCAUUUAACAAUCAUUGGUGAUGAUUGACUAUCAUUUAAGAUAGUUGAUUAUCCUUAUCAAAAGUUUUGCUUGAUUGUUGUUGCUAUAAAAUAAUUUGCUGUUCUUUGGGAUGGUGGAUUCUUUCUUUGACAAUGAUUUUGCAUAUCUCUUUUUGAUAGGAUAAUUAAUGAUCUUUCAUGAUGGUUAGUUGUUUUCUUUGAUGGCUUAUGGCUUUUUUGCAAUAUCACAUGUUCUUUGUGGUUUGCUCUGGAUUGGUCUCUUGGGUUUGAGACAUCAAUAGGAUGUUGCUGACACUUGCUUAGGCAACUUGAGUUCCUUGAUAUUAUUAACCAGGAUUUAUUCAGAUUGGUUGAUGCGAUAGUUGGCAUGACUAAAUGUUUGUUCGUUCUGCAACAUUCAUUAUGUUAUGUUGAUCAUUACUUGAGGUAGUUCUGAUAGAUUGGGAUGUUAUUUCCUUUGAGUGAUACAUUCGCGAGCAUUUUGUUUGUCAAUCAAUGAUACUUUGUGUUCUUUGAGUUAUCUUUAGUAAGUUGUUUAGCUUAUUAUCUACCAUCUUCGGUAGUUAAGUUUCAUCAUUGAGUUUCCUUGAUGAUAUACACAAUGGCAGGAGGUCGGUAUUGUUAGACCCAUUAUCAAUUUCCCACUCUUAUAUAAAAAGCCAAGUUAUAAGAAAAAUUAAUAUAAUUUUCAGGAUUUAGUGAAAUUUUUAUCUACUACAACAUUGACACAACCUUUUGGUCAUAAGCUUAUAAAAGUGACGAGAUCAACUUUAAAUGAUCUUAGAAUUUACUUUGCAAUAAAACCAACUGAGAACCUUGAAAUUGUCAGAAAAAAGUGAUAACUAAGCAAGCUUAUAUAGCUAACAAUUUUGCACUAUCCCAAGUAUGAGUAUGUAACUACAGAACAAGGAAGACUAUUGCUUUUGAGCAAUAAAGAGCCUAAGUGCUUCCAAGUCAAAUAAUGAAAGAUUUAUAAAAUUUUGUAAGUUAUACAUUGAUCUAGAGCAAGUUCUAUAGUCAAAUAUUUUACUUGGAUUGGAAGAAUAUUAUAUAGUAGGCAAAUUACUAUAUGAACUUUACACACUCUAGUUGAUUGUUUUUAUGGAUGACAAUAAUAUGGCAAUCCUCCACAACACUGUGAUCAAUUUAUAUAGUUAUGUCCUAUGGAAGUUCUACACACAUAGUCUAUGUAGUGUCAAUUAUCCAAAAACCAAAAUAUAUACUAUAUAUUCAGUUAGUUGAAGAAAGGGUGAAAUUGAUGAAUUUAGUUGAAACAGGUUUUAAAUAAAAAAAAUAACCAAACCACAAGCUUAACUUUUAGCACUUUUCUCAAGAAAUUCUAAAACAAGAAAUAAUGAAUAUGUGAAGAUUACAAAUAUAUAGUCAAAGGAAGCAAAGACAAUAUAGUCGAAGGCAUUACAGUUGAAGGUGGAAGUUAAGAAUCUCAACAUUAAACAACAAUACUAUCAUUACAAGUGUAUAAUUCUCAAUUAUGGAAUUGAUAUUAUAAAUACAAAGAUUUACAAUAUCACAACAAACUAAUUCCCAAGUUGCACUUAUAUAUGCUUCUUGCAAUGUUAUACUUUUAGUGAGUCUUUAAUCCCUUAAAAACAUAUGUAUUUUAUAUAUUUUAUGCUUUUGGGGAAGGAUCCAAAGGUUAAAGUUUGGAUUCACCAUAAUAUUUUAAUAUGAGUGGUUCAUAACAUUGAAGAUAUUGGUAUUAUAUUUGAAUUUAAAAUAUUUAUUAAUGUGAGGUCCAAGUGUAUGGUUACAAUGCCGUAUACUAAUAGUAGCAUAAUGGGAUUUUGGCAACUGUCAGAUUGAUUUCAAUCCAGACCACUCUCUUCUAUAUAUAAUUUACAAUUUUAGAGUUAAUUGAUAUACACAUAUUUUAUAUUCCCCUUUUAUAUUCCAUGCAUUCACAUCAGUGAAGGUGGGGCAUAUUUGAUUGUCCCUAAGGAGUGCUUGAAUUUGGGAUUUUUGGUUGAAAUCUAUCUUUUGUAUUGUCUAUAUUUAACUUUUUCAUUUCCUUUCUUUUAUUCUUUCUUUUCAGGAUUUUGAUUUAAAUUUAGCUUUUGCAUUAUGUAGAUUUCCCUUUCCUUCUAACUUUUUUUAUUUCAUUUCUUUUGCUCUUUCCUUUUUAUUCAUCUUCAUGGCACAGUAGUAGUCUCCUCCUUUGACUCUGGAGCAGUAGUUGGUGCAAUUGCUCGAUGCUAUAUGAUUGCAGUUAAAUAACCAAACUCAAUUGAUGGUGGCAUUCACGGUACAUGGUAUAACUCCUCUUACUCUUGGUGCCAAUCACCGCGUUCGGCUAGAGUUCUUUCGUGGGAAUCUUGGGGUGAUAUGUACUAUUGGUUUAGUAAUUUCACGAUGAUUGCCACAUAUAAUUCUCAGAAUGAGUUUCCCAUGUGUCUUCAAGGAUAAUGCUAUAGUGGUACAAUGGUUUGAGCGCAGCCACUUGUGAGGAUUGGAGUAUUCUCCCGAACGUCUUCAAAUGCACAUUCAGACAUAUUGACAAUUAUGAUGAUGCCUUCCAAUAAUUGCAUUGUCUUCGUCAAGAGCUAUAGGAGUUAGUGAUAUAAUUUGCGUUCGUUUUCGAAGCUUCUUACUUCAUACGGAGCUAAAUAUGUCAGAGUGGAUCAAGCUAAGAAUAUUGUAGUUAGCACUUCGUCAAGAUGUUAUAAAACUUGUGUAUGCACUUGCUAUAGCCACCCUUAAUGAUGCCCUUCACUUGGCAUAACAUUAUGAGACGUCACUUUUUCCACUUCUCACCGCAUGUCCUUUAGCUCCAUUUCCUCUGAAAGAUGGUUCUGUUCCAAUUGAGGUUGAUGUUGGUGUUACUCGAGUUCAAGGACAAAGGCAAGUACGUGAUUGUGGGCUAAUUGAUAUGCAUAUUUUCUAUAUUCCUUUUCUAUAUUCCAUACACGCACAUUAAUAAAUUAUUAUUUAUAAGUUACAAAUAGGGCAUUUCUUAAAGUUAUGCUCAAAUGGAUUUUAUAGUAAUAAUUAAAUAUUUAAUAAUUACUAUUAUUAAAUAUUAAAAUAAUAAUUUAUUUUAUAAAUUAGGUGGCAAGGCAAAACCUCUAUUGAUUAGGAAAUAUUGCCACUCAUAUUUAAAUAUUAUUUAAAUUACUAAUUUGUCUAAAAUACCUCUUUAAUAAAAAUAUUGCCACUAAAACAUUAAGAAAAUAUUUUUUAGUGUACCAGAAUAUUUUAAAAAUUUAUCCUUUUGUUGACCUAGCUCUCUCUAUUGGCAGAUCUGUCCUAGUAAGCUUUUAAUGAUUAAUUUCUUUGAAUUGAUCAAGCAUGCCCAAUAUCUCUAUUUGUUUGUUCAGGGGAUAUGAGAGACCAAAAGCAAAUGUGCUUAAACUUUGAAAGAAUGUGAAUGUGACAUUUUCCAAUUUUGAAAUUUUGUAAGAAAAAAAAGUUACUCAUUUUAAAAGACUUUUAGCUAUACAAUUAUGUAGCUAAAUAUGUUUACUAGCAAACCAAAAUACCAAAUAAUAUUAGUGUUGUUAACAAUUAUAAUAAUAAUACAUAAUAUGGUAAUAAUAUUCACAAGAGCAAGGCUAGUGUUUUGCUUUGCAAUGUUAUUCAAGAGGAUGAGUAAAGCAAUUGGUAAAACAAACAAUAUAAAUCAAUUGGUAUGAUCUUCAGUCCUCCUAGAACAGCUUUGCAUGGAGUUCCCUCUCGUACACAUCAAGAAGCCCAUCCUGUGGAUUCCACACACAUCUCUUUUGAGGGUAUGCUCCACAAAUCCCUCGGCCUUAAACCUGGAGCACUAGAUUUCAUGACCUUGAGUAUGUACAUACCAUUUCCAUGCAGCUGCUUCGCUAUAAAAGCUUGCUGGUCCUUCCAAACCUCAUCUCUUAAAAAGCUCUUGAAAUGCUAGGAUGAGUACUAGAAUGGUGAAGAGAAAAGCUUUCGAUUUUUGGGAUCGAUACUGGCAUCUCCAAAUAUGUUCGAUUGUUGGAUCGUUCCAGGCGUUUUGACCGAUUUUACUGGUGUUGACCUCUGGGGAGCUAUGGAUGGAUGUUGUACCGUGAGACUAUCAAAACAGCAGUGGAUAGAUAUUUAUCUUGUGUUUCUUUUUCCCACUUUUUUGCAAAAGGAAGUAGUUUGUGCAUGCUGAUGGCUUGUGUCUUCAUGAACUCCAUGACUCACAUUCAAUGAGUGCCAAGUUUCCAGAGGUUUGAAAAAAGGAGUUCACUGCAAGUACAUUAGGAUUGAGCCUUAAAUUGAAGAUGUUUUCUCUUUUUGAAAUAUUUGUAUAUCUAGAGAAUUUCGUGAUUGUGAGAUUAAAUCGCUGUUCACAUCUAGGUUUAGGCUCUUUGGCAUGCUCAAGCCCGAUGGCACCCUUGCGUUCAAGUCCGACAAUCCACAGCGUCACGAGCUCUCUAGUCUAUUCAUGUUUUUUUCACAAAGCUCUUUAUUUUCUAAGUCAAGGGUUAGGUUAUAAUCUUUCUCGCUUGGAUUUUUCUAUUGUCGAAGCUCUCGUCAGGUAAGCUAUGGUCUCUCGCACUCACGCCGCCCCAACGCUUGCCCGCCGAGCCCCAGCGCCCUGGCAUGAAGGCCAUCACCGAGCUCCACACCCGCGAGCUCCAGCACAUCGAACACACCACCAUGGACACCAUCCUCGGGGAGGGCACGAGCCAGCGCCAGCUUUAGCUCCAGUUCUUCAAGGUGACGCUCCAGUUCGAGCCCCAGCGCCAGCUGCUUUUGUUCACCCUGCUCACGGCCACCCUGCUCAUCUAGCUCCAGCGCCUGGUAUCCUUGAUCAUGCUCGCCACCACGAUCCAGCUCCAGCAGUGUACCAUCAUCAUCAUGGUGAUGGAGCUCCUCUGGUUGUUCACCACCGUCACCAUGGUCACCACCAUGGAGGACGUCACAACCACCACAACCACCACCACCACCACCACCACCACCACCGUCACGACGGUCAUGACGCAGCAGUGGCCACACCAACACCCGCAGCAGUAGUUACAGUGGUUCGGAGGACGCCGUGGUCGCUGCUCCAGCUUCUUCUUUGGGUUUUGGUUGCGAUCUUGGUGCUGCUUGCGUGCUUUUUGCUCGUGCGAUGGAUGUUAUCUCGAAGGAAGCAGCACAGGAAUGCGAUCUUUCAGGAUCCCGGGUGGCAGAUCGAAGUGACGAAUCAUCUGGAAGUUGUGGUGGACGAUUCUCCAACUGAGACGAAACAGCUGGAAGCUCACACUUGUGGUUUCUCCUCAAAGUGUCCUGCCAACACUGGCAGUGACGCGUAAGUCAGCACAGUGCAUGCGUUGCCACAUGGAAGAUUGUGUACAAACAAUCUUCAAGGAGCAAGGAGAUGAAGUUGCAGAGCAAGAAGACAGCAGGCUCUUGCUCACGGACGGUGAUCUCACCCAGAGAUCACGUACAAGGGUCGACUGGUGGAAGUCACCAGACUUGGAAGUUAUUGCACAGCUUGGCUCGGAACAUGGACUGGAAAAUAAGUUUCGAUUUGACUGAGCUAUCCUCUAGAGGUGACAGGGGAGCAGACGUUAAUGCACCUCCAAAGGCCAGAGAAGUUGCUUGAGACGAAAGGUUUGAGAAAAGGUAACGUACUACUUUUGCACUCUGUUCUUGCAGGCGCUCAAAUCUCAACUUCGAUGCAAGGCAUAGCAGCCAGAUAAGAUUCUCAAGAGUCAAGAGCAUCAUAAGCCGGGAAUCAAGCGAGUGCAACUGUGAAAGUAUCUACACUGCGGCUUGCAACACAGGUUGUUUGACAGGAUGGGACGAAGAACAGGAUAGGUUGGUCUACCUCGCAAAUUGUGAAUAUGAAGACAAUGCAUUUGUCGGGAGGAUGAAGAAACACGACAUUGGUUGCCUGGAACAUGAACAUGCACGUCUUCUAUCAGAUGCAAUGAGAAGCUGGCAUGCCUCCAAACGCUGAGACUUUGCAUGGAGCAGCAAAACAUCGUUUCCUGGGAUAUGCCAAGAACAACCUUUGCUCUUGAGUGCUACGAGCAAACCGGCAGCCAAACGCUCAGACUUUUCAUGGUGGCGCUCAACGCACGCGGCGACUUAGCAGAGAAGAGGCUCCACUCGCAGAUCCGGGAGAGAAAUCUGGACGGAAUGUGCUCGCUCAGUGUGGAGACAUGCCUGCCACUUGAGAAGUUUUCCACCUCAGGUUCAGAAGUACUCUGGCGUCACUGUCACGAUGACACACUUCUUCUUGCACUACUCAUUUGGAGUCACUGGAGAGCGCCCUACGAAGCAUGAUGGUCAUAGGUACUGUGGAAGGUUACUUUUCAUUUAGGUGCUUGGGAACUGCCUGAGAACUAGGAGCGCUACAUAUGACUGAAGGCAUAUGCUUUAAUCUCAUGGAUCCGAAGAACUUAAUCAAAAUGAGAGAAAAGCUUUUCUCGGGAGCUUGUCGGUAAACUUUGCAAGGAAAGAGUGUGAUGCAAGGUCCGUCAAUGAAACAAACAAAGAUGGUACCUGAAAAGAAGCGAAAGGAUCUUAGCUGGCACACCGUGGUGAAGAGAUAAAGAUAAAAAAUAUGAGAGACAAUACUUAUCUCUUAAUUAAUUUGCAGUAUUGAGUAAUUUAAUUGAUCAAUAGUUAUAAAAAUAUUUAUAAUUUAUAAAUCAAGAUUAAUAUUAAUAGUAAAAUAAACAAUAAUAUACUAGAAAGUGUUUAGGAAACUAUAAAUAAAAAUAUUAAUCUAAAUGAUAGAUAUUAAAAUAUCCUAGAAUAUGCUUGCAAAUUCUAGGAUAUUUUAAUAUCUAAUAGUUGUGGUUGAUUCAAUCUGCUAUAGGUCAAACCAAUUAUAGAUCUAUAGUACAAGCUUAUUUAUAAACCUAUUUACAUUAGUAUAUAGAACUUUUUCUCCAAAACAACUUUGAUUAAACCCAUAUUAAAACUUGGGACUUAAGUUUCUUUGAGAAUUUGUUGUAAAUUAGAUGUUAUAUUCUUCUUUCAACCAUUCCCUGUACAAAUAUAUAACCUUUAUAAUUACAAUUCAAGUUCUUUAAAUGUUUUUUGAUUUUAUAUUAGUAAAUGAGAAACAACAAACAUAUAAAGAUUACAAAUACUUAGUCAAAGGAUGCAAAGAUAACAUACUCAAAGGCAUUAUAGUUAAAAGUAAAAGAUUAACAUCAAACAGCAAUACUCAUGAGUAUAUAAUUCUCAGUUAUGGAAGUGAUAUUAUAAAUGAAGCUUUACAACAUCAUAUUCAAUCAAUUCCUGAGUUGCAAUUACAUAUAAUUCUUUAAAUGUUAAAAUAAUGUCUUUCAUCUUUUGCAUAGGAUGGAUCAAAAUGUUAAACUUUGGAUUCAUCAUAAUGUUUGAAUAUGAGGUGAAAAAAAUAGAUAUUGGUAUUAUAUUUUAAAUUUAAAAAUAAAUUUUAUCUAUAAAUUACACUGAAAACAAUAUAGGGCAUUUCUUAUAAUUAACUUUAUAGUAAUAAUGAAAAGAUUAAUAUAAAUAUAUACUUAAACAAUUAGUGUAAAUAUUAAUUUAUAAAUAUUAAAAAUAAUAUUUUCUUUUCUAAAUUAGCUGAUAAUACAAAACCUCUAUCAAAUAGAAACUAUUGCUAAAACAUAUUAUAUACUUAAAUUAUUAUUUUUAAUACCUUCUUAAUAAAAAUAUUGCAUCUAAAACCUUAUAAAAUAUUCUUUAGUGUAUCAGAAUAAUGCUUUAUUUCGUUAAAGUGGGACUUAUUCAGUAAAGUGGGACAUUAAUUAGCAUGUGUCCACAUGCCAUUUCCUAGUACUUAAUUAAUAUUUAUUAAUAUUUCUAUCAGUUUUUUAAUUUAUUUUUUUAUAUUUCACAAUAUUAUAACACAAAAUCAUAUGAAAAUUUUUUAAUUUAUAAAUUAUAAAGUUAAAACUUCAAUUUUUUAUUGUUGUUAUAAAAAUGGCAUGUGGCCACACACCAUAAGUGGAAUAAUGAAAAGUCCCACUUUAACGAAAUAAAGCAUAAUAUCCUUGUCAACGUCUUUGUUUUCUUCCUUCUCAAUUUGACGAAGUCUGUUAAUAAUAUAGUCGUAUAUUACAUUUACUUUAACAAAAGAUUGGAUCUAAUCGAUCACUGGGACGCAGAUCGAGAGCAUACCUUGUGUUUCCAACACUCUUUGAAUUAAAAUUCUCUCGUGGCAAACCAAUUCUUUUAUAUAGAACAUCAUCUUAGACAGUGAUAAUUAUUUGCGAGAAAUGUCAUUUUAAGUUUUUUUUUGGACACUACUAAAUAACAUAUACCAAGUUGGCAUAAGAUCUUCAACACCAUUAAUGUUUUAUAAUUUCAUGAAACAUUCAUAAGUUCAUAGCUUUUUUAUUUCCUUCUUAGAGCCUUCACAAGAUGCAAUUUUGUCUUUUGCACAUCUCACCUUGGAAGGUAUUUAUCACUCAAAGCAACCAUACUUCUAAUUUAGGUGUCUGGGAGCUGCCUGAGAACUAGGAGUGCUGCGUCAGAACGAGGGAAUUAUCACUAAAGGCCAAUCUCAUGGAUCCGAAGAACUGAGAAAAAAAGUUUUCUCAGGAGCUUGUCGGUAAGCUUUUCGAAGAAAAUGGAGAAAGAGUGUAAUACAAGGUUGACGGAGCUGUCAACGAAACCCAAACAAAGAUGGUUCGUGAAAACAAGCGAAAGGAUCUUAGGCGCUUGAAACAAGCGGGUUACUUUUAGAGACCUCUAAAGCUUAAGCGAUGAGCUUGCUAGACUAAUGGUAAUUGUUUUUUAUUUAAACAUGCAUUUUUUCGUCCUCGCUGACAUUUUUAUACACCAGCGUCCAUUUCGAUUCCAUACCCGAGAGGAGCCUCGUCUCCUUUAACACAAUGCUCUCGGCAGGGGAAUGGAGGGAGAAGAGGCGAUCAAACUGGCAGAGCUCUUCUUCGCCCAAAUGCCCAACCGCGACCUCAAUGCGAUGCUGGACGCGUAUGCCAAGAGAGGGCAUCUGUGCCGCGCACGUAUCCUCUUCGCCGCCAUGCCGGAGCACGACGCCAUCACGAUCACCACCAUGAUCCACACGCUCGCUCGGGGCUCGGGGGAUUUGGAAUCGGCGCGGUUUCUCUUUGAUUCUACGCCCGUCCGGGACGAGCUGUGUUGGAACGCGCGUAUGCCCAGCGAGGGCAUACCGUCGAAGCGAGAAAGCUAUUUGAUUCCAUGCCUGCCAAGAUCGAUUCUUCCUGGAAUUCGAUGCUGUCGGCUUACAUCCAAGCUUCAGAUAUGGCGAGCGCCGAGGAUUUCUUCUUUCGUGCCAUGGCCGAGUGGAAUCUCAUCGCCUGCACAGCGAUGCUCGCUGCGGAUGCCCUAAACGGGCAUCUGUCCAAGGCCGAGGAGAUCUUCGCGGCGAUGGAGGAGGCGAGCUUGGUUUCCUGGACCGCUAUGCUCGACGGAUACGCGCGCAAUGGAUUCGUUCGAAACGCUGCCUCGAUCUUUCACUCCAUGGCGGAGAGAAACUUCGUUGCGUGGAGUGUCAUGGCUUCUACGUUUGCUCGCCAUCGCCACCUUUAAACACGAGCGAAUUCUUAGUUUUGGCUGACGUCUCAGUUUGGAACUCUUUUGUUGCGCUCAAUCCGAGAGCGCUAGCCUUCGCUCGCAAAGAGUGUUCCAGAUCUUGAGCUCGAUGAGUUGCGUCCAGAUGAGAGCUCUUUCGUCUCGAUCUUGCUGGCUUGCAGUCGAUCCGGCCACGUUGAUGCUGCUCGUCGAUGCUUUAGCUGCCUAAGCUCGGAUUUCUUCGUGGUGCUCAGUAAGAAACUCCAUAGCUGCGUCAUUGACACACUAUGUCGGGCAGCGUUUUGCCGAGACGCGAGCGAGCUUGUUUUCAGCAUGCCUUUCAAGCCAGACUCGGUGGACCUGAGCUCGAUUCAUCCAACUGUUGUAAGAGAUCGAGUGGAUCGAUCUAAGAGUUUAUCAAAGAGCUUAUAGUUACCGGUUGAUCCAUUCAUUGGCACGGCCACCCGACUCGUCCAAGCCUCGAGUUGGAAGCGAGGCUUUGGAAGGUUCCGUCCACAUUCAUGGAAUAUCCCAAUUUUCAAAUAUAGAUUUACAUGCUAAACAAACAUUUUAUAAAUCUCAUGCAACUUAUCAAUGGUCUCCUGUCUAGUCUGAAAGUCGCUUCCAAAACCUUGUAACUCAUCUUGGGUCCAAACAAAGAAAAGGAUGGGAUCUGGAACAAAGGAUUCUCGCUGUUUAAAAUGGCCAAAACUGUAGCGUGAUCUUCCCCCAUGUUGAUCAAAUAGUGAAGAACUCCACGGGGAAUUAUAAACAAAUCGCUCGCGGUCAAAUUCCUCGCAAAGAGCCUGUUGUUAGUGUCCACAAAGCCGGCCUCCACAAAUCCCUUCUCCACAUAGAUGAGCUCGCUUGCCCGAGGAUGAGCGUGAGCUCUCGCAACUCCUUUGGGGCCGAGAUAGUUUCGUGCCACGGACAAUCCCAUCGUGUUGAGUGCCGGAAAUGUCCUGACAAUAGCUUGAAAUCAAACGCAUUGCGCGAAACAAGCUGGAGUGGAAGUCUUCUGAAGAUACCUCUGAGUAUGGCUUGCACUUCAUGAAACCUUCACUAAUAUUGUUCCGUGGGAUGCAAAAGUCCUGGAUUGGAUCGGGAUCUGCAGCUCUCACAAGGACAAGAAUGUGGCAGUCGUUUAAGGAUGAGAGGAAUAGAGAAAGCAAUAAAAGUGAAUACAUUUGCAUAGCCAUGGGAUGUUAUAAGUUAACUGAUGAGUGAUUUUAUUUGCUAUCGUGAUUUGGACACCACGUAAAAGCUGGUAACUUUAGUCAAACUUGUGACUAUUGCUAAGCAUUACAAGCCAAGACACGUGGUGUAUGAAAAUUAUUAGUAAUAGGGAAGACCAUUAUUUGUUAUUAAUGGAAAAAAUAAAAAUGAGAUAACUUAGUUGUUAUCUCAUUCUCAAAUACUUACACACCAAAGCUAUUUUAUAGUAUAUUUUAUUGAGAAUAACUGUAUCGGGUGAUAUAAAUGUACAGCAAACAUAUGAAAAUAUAAAGUAUAGUCUUAAAGCAUUUUUGGCUUGACAGUGUAUACAUCUAGAAUAUGCUUGGAUAUUCUAGUUGUUAUUCAUUUAUAUUUAUUUUGUAUUUAUAACUUAUAAAUAUGUUUAUAAUAUAUAAACUUUCCUAAACACUUCAUAGUAUAUUCUAGUUUAUUCUACCAUUCAAUGCAAUAAUAUUAAUUUCGUGUUUAUAAAUUAUAAACAUUUCAAUUGAAUAAAUUAAUAAGAAUGACACUACUAUUAAAAAAAUUAAGCAUUUCAUAGCAAAUUAUUCUAAGUGUUAGUAUAAAAAAUUAAAAAAUUAUAUUUAAUAUCUCAAAUAUGAAGAUAUCUUGAUCAAAACUAGAAUGUAAAUUUUUAAGUUUAAAAGUUCUAAAACCCUUUGAUUAAACCCAUAUUAAAACUUUUCUUUGAGACUUUAUUGUAGAUUAGAUGUUAUAUUGUUCUUUCAACCAUGCCCUGUACAAAUAUAUAAAUUUUACUCCCAGAGAUAUAAAAAGCCCUUGAAAAUAUAUAAUCUUAAAUCCCACGGUGCAAUGAACUAGGGAAGAGUAUACAAUUUCCAGUAAUAAUGACACUACAAAUCCUCUCCUUGCUACUAUUUUACCAAUCCCUUUCAACUAGGAUUGUUGUUUCCAGCCUCCUAUUAAGUUAUGCAAGUGUAAUGCUGCCACACUAAUCCCAUAGCCUCAUACCAGUAUAACCAUACCCUUGGCAUUUUCCAUUUGGAAUCAUGACCAAAGGUGAGCCACUUCUCUUGAGUCCAAGUUAAAGUUAUAUUUCUGCACUCCAAUGAUAUAGCCUCUGACAUGAGUUAUGCCCCUUGAAACAUCCUGUACAUCUAAGUGGUGGAAUCAUGAUGAAUCCACAACCCAAGGCUUAGCCAACACAACUGUACCAUACAAAUUAGAACUUCAGUGUGCUGUCAAAAAGUGUUUGAUUACUAAUUGGAAUUAAAUGUGCAAUCAGAAGGUACAGAAGUGCUGCCAUGUAGUAUGAAGGACCUAAUCAUGGUGAAGAAUAGGUAAUGGUGCCAUAGCGAGAUGUCCUGUCCUGUGUGUCAGUUAUGUGAUGGUGUCUUUCAAGCGGACUUAGCCUUUAAGAGAAUCUGAAACAAAAGGAGAACAAAAGGCAUACUUCUACACAGUGAUCGUGGCUCUGUCUGCUUGUGCUACGAAAGAAAAAGAGUGGUGCCACCUUUCUGGUGCAUAAAACAGCAUCUCCUUAUAUCCGAUCCUUUCUUGUAAGUGACAGGACUGAGAAAUCGCACUGGACAACAGCCAACACAGGAUUGCUUUAGAUUACUCAAUUGAAACAACAAAGUUUACAAUAGUAAUUACCAUAAACUAAAAUAAAACAUGGCAUAUGCUAGUGUGAAGUUAUAAACUACUACCUUGAAUAGGGACAGUACAAGUAAACAGGGCACAGCUGCUGACCAUCAAACACAAUAUCUUGCGCAUUGGUUUCACCCUUCUGUGAAAGAAGCAUGCCCAAGUCACAGGUAAGAUCAGCCUGCAAGUAGUUUGAGCUAUCGGAUGAGUGCUUUUGGUCAAUCCACUGAGCACUAGCACGAAUUGCUGCUGAGAGUAGAACUUUUCCCGAUGCUACAUCAGCUUUAAACAGCUCCAACUUAUCCACGGAAAGGCUCGUCUCGUUCACCAAAAGCCUCCGUGUCACAGAAACACUCCUGCUCUUCGGAAGCAUAAAGGUGUGGAAUGGAAACUGCUGGACGGCGAGCUCCACUCCACGGUAGCUCAAAGUUACGUCCAUUGCAUCAAACUUCACGUCCAGCAGAUCUUCGUGCUUGCGAUGCUUGAGAUUCGAGCAGGUAAACUGGAGCUCUAGAUUGGAAACAAACCUUGGAGUUGAGUUUGAUGGGAGCUCAACGUGUGAAACCUUAAUGUCCUUGAAGUCGCACCAUGGUUCGUGACGAUUGGUGAAUGGCAGAAAAGAUGGUAAAAGUAGUAGUGAAAGCACUACGGCCAGCGCCCCUAUUACUAGCAAUCCCCCAAUGAUUUCCUUCUUGGAAUCCUCCAUGCCCUAUCUUCCCAAAAUAUAGUUCUUAUUUUAUAGACAAGACUUAAAGGUAAUCUAAAGGAUUAGGGUUUAGGGUUUUGUGAAUGAAGUGGCUGGGCGUGGCGUGGUCGGGGCUAAGGCGGCAUUUCUCGUCGCGGGCGGAUGGAGUGGGAUCGAUUUACGACAAGCUUUUCGUCGUCCAGCCGCGCUUCCAUCCGCCGCUGCUGCUCAAGGCCAAGCUCCUCGAGGCACUGCGCCUCGCCAAUUCACUCGCGCCCCUCACUGCCACCGAUCUCAAGUCGGAUUUCCCCUCGUAUGUGCUUGUCCAGGGCAGGAGGAAGAUCAAUGCAGGUGAUUAUUAGUCUGUUUCGCAUCGAUCGUUUCUCGUUCUCGAGUGAGUGAAUUCUUUUGUUUCAAGGCACCUAUUUUGGAGCGGGGACUAUUGACAACAUUCGCACGCAUUUGGACGUGAUCGACGUGGAAGUAAGGAAAGUUUUCUUUCUUUUAGCUCUGUAAAAGCUAAGCACGAGAGUCACACUGACAGGAUAGAGAGAUCGAUGCCGUGUUCGUGAACACUUCCCUGUCCGGCGUCCAAUAACGUAACCUUGAGGUGAUUAGAUAUCUCCACUUUCUUUUCUCUUUGAAUGUAGGUUGCAAUUUUGAAUGUUGGUUGCAAUUUUUCUUACAGGAUGCUUGGGAAAGGCCGGUUCUCGAUCGCGUGGGCUUGAUCAUCGAGAUUUUUGGCAGUCGUGCACGAUCCAAAGAAGCCAAGCUUCAGGUAACUUCAAAUAGAUAGUGUGUUGAUUAUAUGAUGGUGUCUUUCAGGUGGAACUUGCUGCUCUAGACUUUAAGAGAACAAGGCUCAUCCGAGAAAAAGGAGAACGAAAGGCGUUUGGAGCUGGUGGAGAGCAGGAGGUUGUGAGUGCACGAGGGUAAAAAUAACUUCUUCUUGUCAUCGAGGAAGAAAUUCGUAAUUCCUUUUUCCUUCUUCAUAGGAGAGCAAGUGGUGGUGGUGGUCGAGGAUUUACGAGCGGAUCAGGAGAGUCGGAAUUGCAGCUACAACGACGGAGGUACAGGGCUUUUUGUUUUGGUUUGUCAUCUCUCUUGUUUGAUAUUUAGUUUUCAACCAGGAUUUCGGAUCAAAAGCAUAAAAUCCAGCUCGCUCUUGCGAAAGCAAAGCAGACACGAUCACUGCAUCGCCGCAACCGAGAAGGCAUUCCGUUGGUUGCAGUCGUAGGAUACACGAAUGCUGUAAGUUGACAGUCUUGUUAUGCGUUGAUUGCUGAGAAACAAGAUAGCAGUACACUGCAGGGGAAGUCGACACUCGUUGGAGCUCUAUCAAAGAGCAGCCUCUACUCGGAUGACAGGUUCAUGAGAAACGCUUUUCUUUUCAGGUAAAGUUUUAUCGCUCUGUUUCAUAGGUUGUUUGCAACGCUAGACACGCAGGUGCGAAGUGUGAUUCUUCCUUCAGGGUAAAAUAGUGUCGACUCUUUCUUGUUUGUACUCAUUGCUGUGUUUCUGCAGAAGAAGGGUCCUGGUGAGUGACACCGUUGGAUUCAUAUCGGACUUGCCUACUCAGGUUUGUGAAGAUUCUCAAGCACUCAACAUCUACUUAUGUUUGCGUGAAUUUUGGAAGCUCGUGGAAGCGUUCCAUGCAACUCUAGAAGAAGUUGUUGCUGCGGACAUUGUUUUGGUAAGUACGCUUCUUUGAUCCUGAUUGAAGGUAGCCUGUUCCAUGUUUUCAGCAUGUCAUGGAUUCGAGCGCUCCAAACAUGGACGAGCAGCGAGAGGCAGUUCUUAAAGUCCUGGGAGAAAUAGGAGUCUCUCAACAAGAUCUAGACGAGAAGACGAUUGAAGUGAUGAACAAGGUGGGUGCAUGCUUGGCGUGACGCUGUGUUACAAGUUUCUAGUGGUUUUUCCAGAUCGAUGUUCAUCCAGAUUGUGGCGAUCUUGAUCUUCCAGCGGGUUUGCUUCUGUGCGAUGGCAAUGACGAAGACGCCCUGGUGAUCCCGUCCUCGGAGGAGUACAGGAAAGCAGUGGGAGCGGCCAACGCUCUAUCAAAUGGAAUCCAAGUCUCAAAUCCAGAAGAAGUGAAGGAAGAACACAAAGAAGAAAGUGAAAGCGUCGAGCACGAAGAAGUUGAGCUAUGGGGAACACAGCUCUUAAAGGAUGGAAAAAUAGCUCGAGUUUCUACGUCGGCAACGCAAGGCACUGGUUUGGAAAAUCUUUUGCAAGUGAUUGACUCGAGGCUUAAAAAUAAAUCAUAAGACCCAUACAACGCCAGUAAUUUAGGGUUCUUGAUGGAUCGAGAGCUCACGCGUUGGAUCCGCGGAGCUCCGGUAAGCUGGGUAUGACGCAUUCCAUCCAGCGAUGGCGGGAAGCGACAUCGAUCUGGAUGCGCUACUCGAUGCUCACAGCAGCGACGAGGACGACGCCGAUCUUCCCGAGCUCGACAGAAGCAUCGACGAUAUUCUACUCGAUGCCGAUGAGGAGGAGGAGGGUGAUGUGGAGCGAAAUUCGGAUAUUUCGGCCGCGAUCCCGGAGAAGAAGCUCGAGAGCGGGAUUGAGAGCCAGGGAUCACAGGCGGGUUUAGUGAGUACAGGGGUGUCCAAGACUGCUCCAAGGCUAUGGGACAUCAGUGGAACGAUUCCAUUCUAUCAGGUGACCACCAAGCCAAGUCCAAAGCCUGGCGCUGCUUUGGCGGCUGCUACUGCUGCUUCGAGACACAGUGGAACGACUACUCGCACAGCGUCUCUCAGGGAUGUUCCUAGUGAAACUCCGGACGAGUCGGGAAGCUUGAACGAAGAAAAAGAAGAGGUCGAAGAAAAAGAAGAGGAAGAGCAAAAGGGACUCGACUGGGUUUCAUCAUCGAUAGAAUUCGUUAGCAACGAGGAUACAAGUGCUGCGAAGAGAGACCAAGUGGAAAUGGAGGCGACGCCGGUUUCUCUCUCGACAGAGGACACAGUUUCAUCAUCGUUAGAAGGUGGCGAGGUUUUGGACGAGAGGAUAGAAGUGGCUGUAAAUACCGUGGAUCUUACCGAGGACAACGAGAGCGACCUUGUUGCCGUCCAGAUACUCGACGAGAAGCUAGAACGAGGCGAAGACGGCUCAUCAUCGACUGAAAGCUCCGAAGAGAGCGUGCUGGAGGAGGCUUUUGAUGAACAUACUUCCCCUGAAGUGGAAGAAGUGAAGUCUCUAAUGGUUGAGGCAGAAGAGCGGGAGAAACGAGCAGCGAACUCUGGUCUUCACUUGGAGGAAGGAGCUGCGGCGCAGCCAAUGCAAUUGGAAGGCAUUCAGCGCGGGCCUCCAGCCAUAGGCCUGCUGCAGCUGGACUGGGGUGGACCUCUGUCCUUCGCGCUUUCUUCCAUAGCCAUGAUGCGUGACCACGGGAAUCCACGGUGCUUGGCAGUUCAAGCAAACUUCAUUGCGGUGGGAAUGUCGAAAGGUACUGUACUCUUGGCUUUAAGCAAGUACUCCGCCACUACCACAGCAGACAACAACGAAGCUAAGGUGACUAUUUUCUUUUAGUUUGCUAUGCUGGAACUCACAUUUUUGUAUGCUCAGGUGGUUCUCUUGAGUAAUGCCGCAGACAAGUCUCACGCCUCUGCGAGUGUGAUGUGCUUCAGCUUUCUUGGAGACCUGCUUCUAGUGGGAUAUACUAAUGGGUCUGUGAUACUAUGGGACGUUCCAAAAGCUGCGGUAGCUAAAGCCGUCACAGGAGAGCAUCACAACGUGAUAGUUCAUGCAGCAUUUGUAGGACAGGACGGUUCAACAGGUCGCCCCUUAAAAGCCAUGACUGCAGAUUGUAAAGGGGUGGUGAUGCUCCAUACCUUCACACUUGUUCCACUGCUGCGCCGCUUUUCAGUCACAACACAGGUGGUAUCUUUUUUUCAUUUUGAGUAGGCUUGACCAUGUCCUACUUGCAGUGCCUUCUAGAUGGCCAACGGACGGGUGUUGUCCUCUCACUGGCACCUCUGCUGCUGACUGAAAGUUUACUUCAGAAUAUUACAGGGUCUGGUAUCACUGGGGCAGCUGGAAACGAUGCGGGAAGGAAGUUUUUGUACGACGGAUCUUCUUCGUCUGACGAAACCGGGGGCCUGGUUGUAUUUGUCACUCAGCAGAUUGCUCUUGUGGUAAAUAUUUGAUAUUGUUUAUCAUGGUAACUACACUGACGUUCUUUGCAGUUUCGAUUAUUGCCUGCUUUAGAAAUAUGCGCGAAACUAACACGGCCGGAAGGUGUUCGAGAGGGGUCGAUACCGUAUGCAUCUUGGAGGGGUGUCUCAUCUAUGAAGUCGGAAAGCACUGCCCAAGGUCAAGACGAGCCUUUGCUUGCUCUUGCCUGGGGAAAGAAGGUCCUUGUUCUUCAACUUCAAAAGGCCGAUCUUAAAGUGCUGGCUGAAUGGGAUAUUGAUAACAAAGCCGCUGGAGUAGCUUGGCUUGGUGACCAGGUAAGACGAACUUGUUUGAGACUGUUCCUCUUUAACGAUAUUGUUUUGACAGAUGCUUGUGGUCGCCACUGUCAAAGCUGAACUUUGUCUAUUCACAAAGGAAGGUCUUGCACUUGAACGUGCUGCCAUACGAGACAAUGACGGGCACACAGAGCCUUUGACAUUUCACACCUACUUUCUGGAGACGUGCAACAAUCCUGAGAAAGUUUAUGGAAACUCUUUAGGAGUCCGAGGGGCAGCAUCUUAUUUUCUGGGAGCUUCAAAGCUCUGGAGGGCUCGGCUACUUCCUUGGCAGGAUAGAAUAAAGGCACUUCAGGAUGCUGGUGACUGGAUGGGCGCUUUCCAGAUUGCAAUGGAGUUGUUCGAUGGACGGGCAAGAGGUGUUACUGGCUUACCUUCUGGGCUUCGUGCAAUGCAGGAAGCUAUUAUGCCAAAUCUUCUAGCAUUGCUGUCGUCGUACAUCGAUGAAGCUUUCGCUUAUGUUCGUUUGGCUCUUGGUGUGCCUGAAACUGAAGCUGCCAGGGAACAGUAUGCAAGAGUCGGGCGGGUUGCAAUAGAGUUUUGUGUACAUAUCAGCAGGACCGACGUACUUUUUGAGAACGUUUUUCGAAAGUUUGAUGAGGUCGCCCAAGCAGGUACGUACGUCUCUUAGCGCUUGAAGAGGUAGCUCUAAUGUUUUUGUGUUGUUCGUUCAGCAACAUUUCUGGAGCUGUUGGAGCCUUACAUUCUGAAAGACAUGCUCUGCGGCCUUGCACCAGAGGUUUGUUGCCUUAAAGUCAUACAAAUGUUUGUUUAAGCCGGUUGUUUCAGAUCAUGCAAUCUCUCGUUGAGCACUACAGCAGCAAGGGGUGGUUGCAAAGGGUCGAACAGUGCAUUCUUCACAUGGAUAUUGCGUCAUUGGACUUCAACCAGGUUUGCGUCUCUGUACGUUCGUUGUCAUUUUUCCUACUGUGUUUUAAGGUUAUGAGACUUUGCCGGGAGCAUGGAUUAUUCAGCGCUCUGAUUUAUCUUUAUAACAAGGGCUUAAAUGACUUCAAAUCGCCAUUGGAAGAACUGCUGAUCGCUGCGCAGGAUCAACAUCAGGAAAAUGCUUCGUCUUUUGGGUAUGUUCUACAUGCUUUCGCAUAAGCAAAGCUUAUUUCUCCGUUGUCAGGUAUAAACUUUUGGUAUAUCUCAAGUAUUGCUUCUCUGGUCUUGCGUUUCCUCCUGGUACGUCCGUCUGUUUACAGCUUUAUCAAGUUUGCUCAUAUCAUGCUCAUGCUUAAGGUCGUGGAUCAUUACCUGCUGAACAAGUAUAUGGACUCAAAAUACAGCUUUUGGAGUAUUUACUCGACCCCGCUGGCUCUGGAAGAGAUGCAGAGUCGGUAUAUGCAGUUUAUCCGAGGCUUCAUUAUCUACUCAACCUGGAUGUGUCGGCCACCCUGGAUGUUUUCAAAGUAGCUUUGGGGAACGUAAAGGAGGCUGAAGGACAUCUGGUCCAGCUAACGAUUGAUCCUCUUGUCCACAUUGUCGAAACAGUUCUAUGCAUGGACACCGAGUUCAUUGACAAGACAAGCUACAUUUUACAGUUUAUUGCCGACUAUGUAUCUGCUGGGGCUGCUUCUAUACCUCCUACAACACUAGAUCGGAUUCUAAAUCUAUUUCUGGACAAUACUCAAGAAAGCAUUCUCCCUGAUCGCGAGGAACUUACGGUGAAAGUUUUGGAGGCCGUUCCCGCGGAAGACUGGGAUCCUGAUGCUGUUCUUGAGCUAGCUAAGAAAACUCAAUUCUGGCGGGUAAGCAUGCUUGUUCCUGAAAAUGCUUUGUAUAGAAUUUUCCUACGCAGGUGUCCGCGUUGGUCUAUACACGGAAAGGAGACCACAUAUCCGCACUUUAUAGUCACCUAGAGGAUGUUUCUCGACCACGCCAUACUUUUAACUUCGUGAUAUCUAAGCUUGAUCGGGAAAAUGGCCUCAAGGGAACUGCAUUGACAGAAUUCCGUGCGGCUGUAAUCUCUCGUAUUCAUCACCUUGUACAGAAGAACAGGUAAAACACCUAGUUUCUGUUUUGUUCUUUCAGUGCUUUAACUAGUGUUUAUUAUUAUUAUUUAUCGUACAGGAUUGCAGCUUUCUAUAUAGUUCUUGAAUACUUCAAUGACCAACUCGACGAUGUGGUGAAAGCCUUACAACCGUUUCCACUCUCUCUGUUUAACUUCCUGAAAGCUCUUAUGGAAGUCCGUGCCAUCUCAGAUACUAUCAGUGAUGUGCAAGUCUCAGAAGUCGACUGCGAUCCCUGGGAUGACCGAUCCCGACUAGCAACGCUACUGGAAAACAUGCGUUUGGAGGUCACGGAUGACAUGGUCGAGGAAUAUAUAGAGGUUUGAUAUGACCUUUACCAUUUUUGCCGUUUAAGCGCAGUUUUUUUUCACAGCUUAUGUGCGAGCUUGAGCCUAGUGGCGUACUGAAUUUUCUUCAAGGCCAUGAAAAUUAUAGGCUUGAACAAUGUUUGAAGCUGUGCCAGAAGUAUGGGGUGAAAGACGGUGCGGCUUUUCUUCUCGAACAAGCUGGUGAUGUUGGCAGCGCUCUGACUCUUAUUCUGGGUGACCUUUCGAAGUUAUUCCAUGAACUUGAUGCGGCAGUUGCAAUAAUGUGCACUGCAUCAAGCACUGGAACGAACAUUCCUGAGGUAAGUGAGAAGCGUUAUGACAUGGUUUUAAUGUUCACGAUCUCUUCUAGGAGCAAGCUUUGCAUUCAGUUAAGAAUGCCGCGGUUUCUCUUUGCCAAAGAAAUACUUUUCGGCUUGAUCCCCAGGAAGCCGAGUCCCUUUGGUUUCAUCUGCUGGACAGGUAGGAGUUUGUAAUCUCUAGCUUAAUCCCACGCAACCUUGCUACAGAUUUAUUCACCCUCUGGAUGCUCUGAAUUCGUCGAAGCACAACAAAGCUGUGAAACCAGCAGAUACAGGAUCAUCAUCUCGCUACGAGUGGCAGGUUUUUCAAGUUAUCGGUGCAGCGAGUGUUCUCCGAAAGAUGCUUUCUAAGUUUGCUGGGGACAUUGUCACGGGUAUGAUUGGUCAUGUACCCGUGCAAGUGAUUUUGAACAAGAUCGUAUCGGAUCAUGGUAACCACGAGCUUGGCGAUUUCAAGAACACCAUUCUCGAAAUGCUGAGUGCGUAUGGCUACGAGUUGGCAAUUCUGGUAGGACAUGAACUUCUUUCUAUUCUUAAACAAGGACUCGUUGUCCUACAGGGUACUGCAAGGCGGAUACUUGAAACUGACAUGUUUCACGACAUUCAAACACUUAAGAGAGGCCGAUCUCGUGGAUUAAGUCCCUUGACAGCCAGCUGCAGCGUGUGCAGUCACACGUUUGUGGAAGAUCAAAGUGCAAGGAAGGGCGUACAAAUUUUCUCUUGUGGGCAUUUAGUCCACCUGAGCUGCAUGGAGGACGCUAACUCAAAGUCAAACCGGUGCCCGGUUUGCAUGCGUCACGACGUAGGCACGGAUACAAAUUACAACAAUGGUUACAACAAUGGAAGCUUUCCUCAAGAUCGUAAGGGUAAAGGCCACGAACAGGCUAUCGAAGAACGGCAACCAAUUCGGAAACAAGGAGUCUCCAGAGUGAGUGAUUUCUUUUUUCUGGAAAUCUCCUCUCUCGACUGAUUGUGACGGUCUCUUGCUGCACAGUUUGAAUUGCUGAAGAGUCUCCAGAAGGGAGAACCCCUGCCUGAGCUGAAUCCUGAUUUACCAAGGCUACAGCUCUCGCCUCCGAUCAAGUACAAGCACAGGCCUUCCAGGCCGCUGUCUGGCUAUAGCAACACCAACAUCAGCGGCAACUCUAGCAGAAGACCCCUACAGCAAAAAUCGCAUUCCUUGCGCGUUCUCAAAGCAAAAUGAUAAACAACAAGCUCGUCAUGCUCUACACCUUUCUGGCGAAUUCAAAUUUGCUAUCGUAUGAAGAGGUACGUGAUCAUCUAGUAGGUUAUAACGCCGUCCUUCUAGGAGAAGUCCAUUCUAUAUCCUAUAUCGGAAUGUGACAUGGCGUGGCAGAUGACGGGCUCCUUGGCCGCUGGAGGUGAGACCGAUCAGCACGCAUGCCAGCAUCCUCGGCAGUGGAAAGGAGUCACCAGAGUUUCUCGACAUAGCGGCCGAAGCUCGGGAGUCGACUUCAUGUCUUCCAAGGUGGACGUGCAGCUGUACAAGUGCCACGAGCAAGGUCGCCAUUUCAAGUUUACAGGAUGGAUUCUUGCGACCAGCGUCCAACACGGUCGGGCCAUUGUGGCCGAGCUCUCACGGUCCAGCACUCAAAUUCUUCCAACUUCCACUGCACGAAUGACUUACCUCUACACAGUCUUCUGCGACUGCCAACACUGUAUGGAGCAGCUGUUUGAGCUACUGGCGCUUGAGGUCAAUGAGCAGGACAAUUGGAAUGGGAGGCAUGCUUUCCGGGACAGUCGAUCGAUUCGAAAGAGUAACUCGAUUCUUCUUUUAUUCUUUGGCUCGAUCGUCGCGUCCGAUCCAACUUUUUAUUUCCAGGUCUUCGAGACAAAAUCUGGCCGCAACGUCGUUGCUUCUUCUCGGUAAAGUGUCUAUUUUGCCUGCAGAUAGACAAUCCAAACUCUUUUAGUGCCGCAGAACAUGGGCUAGAUCAAACAAUGCGUUGGAGAACUCCAGCAUGACGCAGAAUCCGAGAAAAGGCAACAGUCUCAUUGUCCCCCUUCAUGUAAUGAUAGCAAUUGUUGUGAUUUCUCAUUCCACUGGUGAUCCUGAGAGCCAUCUCGAUCUUCUCAGCAAACAAUCACAGUGCGAACAACUCUUGAGGGCCGUCAUCGACAAACUAAAGAUGACGAGGUGACGAGAGGCUUUGUGACAAAGAGAAAUAGCGAUGCAUUCCAUACUUACUUCCCCUGAUGCCUCGAUAGUCUUAACUGCGUAUAAUACGACAGAUAAAACUUAGUUUCCAGGUAUAACAUUCAUAGCAUUCUUACCUUCAAAUGUGCAAGAACCUAAAACUCCACAAUGGAAAUUAUUUGCCCAACCUAUACAUAAAAUGGCAUCACUUUUUGGCCUAAUCUUACCGUUUAUUUUCACUGGAUAUGACCCAAGGAUCAGAUUUAUGCUCUCCUACGCAUGAGCAGUAGUGUCUUAUGGGAUCAUUCCCACUAUGCUCUCCAUAGCUGUCUAUACGAGAGGUCUUGCAGUUGUUGAGAGCUGUGGAACCGGGGCUGUCACGGUGAUGUCCCAGACCUGGAGUUUCCAUCCUCAUAGACACGGGCAUUUGCGUGGACAUCUCUAGAGAUGAGCUAGCCCCAAUUGGAGGAGCUAGCAUGGAGGACUUACAGAGGAAGGAACUUAUGGAUGUUGUGGUGGUGGUGGGCCGCUGUGAUCAUCCUUUUCAUUUGUCAUCAUCGAUGCACUGAUGAGUGUAUCUAUUUCCUGAGCAUGCAGAAAUAGCAAUACCUACAUGUGUGCAUAGAAGAGGAGGAAAUGCUGGAUCUUCCAAAAGCAUUAGAUUCUUGUUGUGUACUGAUAUGAAUAUUGCCAUGGAAUAUGUAUUGGCAUCUUAAGAACAAGUAUGUGGAGACAAUGUUAUAGAGUAGUGCUCUUUGUCUUUGUCUUUCUUUUUUUUAUCCUUCUCAGUAUCUCAGAGAAGGUGAUUUCACAUUAGAAUGUUUUUGUCCACUGGUUCCUUGAAUUCACAAUACACUCCAGAUCUGGACGUGGGAUUUCCAGCUGUAGAAGAUGAAGACUAUAAUAUUCCAUGAAACACCCUGUGCACUACACAAAGAACAAGUGUGUGUACUAUAUACACCAAUGCCAUAUAAAGCCAUUGUGUUGGGAGCAAUGGCCCCAUUGUUGUUUCUUUGACAGGUGGAAACAGUUGAGAAUGCUAAAGUUAAUAGAGUUUUCUAAAUUUCUCAUUGUUUGACAGGCUCAUUGAUGAAGUUAUUUAUGGUAAAAAAAAUUAAAAAUACUAUAAAUUAUUGGGUCCAAGUAUUUAGAGCUCACAUGUGUCUAAAAAUAGAAAAAAAGAAAUACAAAAGGAUUUAAAAAUAAAUAACAAUCCCAAGUGCACUAAAUAAAUACUCAUGGAAAAGAAACACUUAUAUAUGGUAUCAAAACUGUUUCCUAUUUCUUUAUAUCUAUGUUUGUUAAAUAUACAAUUUGUAUUUGCAACACCACCAACCCCCAUUCCAGAUGAUGAGCCUACUCUUAUAUAUGCUAAAAAUCCCUUUGCUAUCAAUGUAAACCCCUUCACACGCUUUUUGGGGCACAUUCGAGCAUAUAUUUUCUCAACAUUUCUUGAUGGUGAAACAUAUCCAACAGGAUUACGAAUUAUAAAUAUUCAUUUCCAUAGAUCAGGGUUUAAUAUCACUGCAAAUUUAUAUAUUUUAGAACCUGGGUUUGCUAGUCAACAAACUCUUAUACCAUAUGUUUGCACUACAGAUCCAACAAUUCCAUUAGGCUUUCAAGGUGAUGAGGUAAGAACCCUUUAUGAAAGAAUUUUAACAUUCAUUCAAGCAAGAGCUGCAUCAGAUACACAUGGGAUAUCCUUUUGUGGAGAAAUCCGUGUUGUUUAUUUCAAUCUUAUGAUUGACUAUGAGAUCACAGUACCACUUCCUCAACUUCCCCAUGAGAUGCUCAUGCAUAGUAAUUAUACUAAAGACUACAAAUCUGAAAUAGUUCCACAGCUACAACUUUUUCAUAUAGCAGAUUUGCAUAAAAAUUGUUGGGCAUUCUCAACUAUACUUAUUGGUCAGAAAACUAAUAUAGUUGGCUCUUCUAUUGAAAUUGGUAAUAGUUUAACUUCACCAAAUAAAAAAUUCAGACUAACUUUAGGGAGUGAUUGCAAGCUAAAGUUUUAUAAAAUUGGGUAUAGCAUCCCACUUUGGAUUAGUGAACACAAAUUUAACCCCCAGCAAAGCUGUUAUGCACACUUACAAGAGGAUGGAAACUUUGUUAUUAAGGAAAGUAAUAUUAAACAUGAUCAAAAUAAUGUUUAUUGGGCUAAUAAUAAGUAUUGUACACCACAACCCUCAUGUAAGAUCAUCACAACAUUAGUUGUGAGUAAUCAUGGAAAUAUUAUUAUUUAUUGGAACAGUAGAAUUUUAUGGAAAGCCUUGUGAAUUAUAUAUUUUGAGGCUUAUUAUAAAACUUAUCAUAAAUACUAUAAUUAGAUCAAAUUUAAAAUUACUCUAUACCAUAUAUACUAACAUUAGCAUUACAUUAGAAAUUUGUAGCUGUAAGUUUUGUAACUAUAGAUAUGCAUAUUUACAUAUAUCAUAAUAUAAGAUAAAUAUUUUAAUUAUAAUAGUGUAGCAUAUGGACUUGAUUAAGACGAGAUUUAAUCCAUGCAUUUAUUUAUAUAAACAAGGGUCUUUUCAAUUAUUAUAUCUUCAUAUUGAAAAUUAUCCCUAAAGGACAAGGGUUAUGCUUUUGAUUUUUUGUUUGUUUUGAUUUGCUUAGCUUUUUGUUAAAUUUCUUUUUAUUAUCAUUUUUGCUCUUUAUAUUGCAUUUCCUCUUUUUGCCAUAUCAUGCCAUCAAUUAAAGAGUGUAUCAUCAAAGUAAGUGUCAAUAGUUCUUGAAGAAGUCUACAAAUCUCAAUGACGAUUUAGUAGUGAUAGGCUUGCUUUACUGGAUGGUGUGGUCCAUUAUCCUUAUCUGGCAACACUAUUCUUGCUAUUGUAUCACAUGUGGAUUGAGCUUUUGGUACUAUUGGGUGUAUGAUGUUGCUUUAAUAUUUAGUAUACUGUUAUCUCCAACUUUUGUAAAAUAUGAUUACACUAUGUGUCCUAUUCUUAAUAUCUGAUUGGAAUAUACAAUUGUGAAGGGUAGAAUGUCCAAAUGGUACUGAGCACAACCACACAUAAGAGAGCUUGGCCAAAGAAUGCUAGCUGAUCCUUAAUAUCCAUUAAAGAGGAAUGAGAACAAUAGAGAGGAGGGAAGAGAGAGAGAGAGAGAGAGAGAAUAAAAAUCUACCAUACUCUAUACUUAUAGUGCAUUCUAUCUCUCUUCUCUUAAGCCAACUGAAAAAGGGGCAAUUGUUUGAUUAAUAGCUAUUUUACCCGUAUUGUAGUCCCACAGUGGAUACCUUUAUCCAUGGAUACUCCACACAAGAGGAAAGACAUAAACAUGGAUGUCCAAUAUGUACAAUUUUAAAUUUUAGGGGUAAAAAUAUAUUUUGCUCAAGGGUAUAUUAUAUUUUUAAGUAGCCACUAAUCAAUGGGAAUCGAAUCCAUACCAUUUGCUCUGAUACCAACUGUAGCUCACCCUAUCUCUCUCCCCUUAAUCCAACUAGAAAAGGGGCAAUUGUCCUUAGUGGCUAUUUUAUCCCCCAUUUAUCCCCUAACGUUUCAAGGAUCUACGGUGACAGUAUAUCUAAAUCUCAUCCCAUAAUCACAUGCGUGUAAGCCACAAAUGUUUCCUUUCCAAUUUGCCAGCUUACCUCGUCUAUUUGACCAACACUGCCUUGGCUUGUGCUAAGUUCCCUCACCAAGGUUCCCUCCUAUUGUACUAGCUCCUACUUGGUCCUACUUUGUUUCAGCUACUCACUACAUGAGCAACGGAGCGUUAGCCAUCCAUCCACGGAUUCCCAAAUCUCUCCCAAUCCCCCUCCCUGGGUUAGACUAGACUUAAGGUUUGGCUACACUCCUCGCAGGCACAAGCAGCUAAGCACACCAAGCCUCUAGGUUUCUAACACCCCUUGGUACAACAAGACUUGAUCAUAGGACCCUCUAAAUCCCAAGCCUUAGGUGCAACACUUGCUUCGGGACAUCGGGGCGAAACACCGUGGCUUAACGGCCUGAUAUGGGUACCUCUACCCCCCCACUUCCAUCCCGAAGGGAAGGCCCAAGCCCCUAAGAAGGGCGAGGACCAAUGAGCCACAAGGUACUCAAGUGGGGCACCACUCCACAUGAGUUGGGAUCACUAUAGUCAAUUUUCCUUUCGGGAGUGGGAGUUGCUCUUGAGCACUUCUUUGGGUGGCCCCUCUGGCACCACCCAAGCCUAUGCUCACUCCCACCCAAGGCCCCUCGGCCCCAAUCUCAACCUCAAGUCAGUUUGGAAAAACACUAUUGGAGAGUUCUUUCAAGACUGGUUCCUAAACCUCACUAUCCCUACUAUAUUGAUACUUUUGGAACCCCCUGCAGCCCCCCCCCCCCCCCCCCCCCGAAAUUAUAUACCUUUGUGUAUUGCUCUUCAUUAAAAUGGUAUAAGUGGACAGUCUAUACCAUAUGAUUCAGACUCUUCUUCAACAUCUAAGAGUGAUGCUCUUCCAUGAGACUAACAAAAAUCUCAUGCAAAAAAAUGUCUUUAUCUAUAACAAAGAAGUUUGAAAAUGACAAUAGAAGUUUACUCAUAUUUCUUAAACCUGACUAUGUAUGCUAUCCUUAUAAAUUCUGUCAUAAAAGACCAUCUAACUAUUUCAAAUAUGAAUCACCUUGCUAUUGGUUUGGAUUUUUCAGUACCAAUACCUUCAAUCUAGACUCCACCAUGGCACCCCACCCAGCAACAAGCAAGCCUUGCCUCAAAGGUGACCUUUAUCAAAGGAUGAGUAGACAUGUGCUAUAGGCCAUACCAUGGAUGUGCAUAAUAGGCAUGUAUGGAAGAUCAUAAAAAACAUCUGAUCACAUUGGAUGCCCAUUGGAUGUGCAUAAUAGACACAUAGUUAUGACAGGCCAAUCAAAUGUUGCCACAUGGUUUACGAAUAACACGCCAUACAUACCCCUGCCAUCCUAUAUAUAUGCCCUGGCUCUGGGCCAUAUGAAAUGGUUGAGUGAUGAAGCAAAAGCCACUCCCUGCACCAACUAUAUUGCUGGAUGACAGAAGCUUGCUGAUUCUAGAGGGUAUGGUCCAAGUCCAGAUGCAAAAGCCUGAGGCACAAAGUCCUUCAAAAUACGCUGGGUAGGGACAGGGGAAAUGGAGGACACCUAGGUCACAAAGGAACAGUUAAAGAAGCUUGAGGAGUUCAUCUAUUCAACUUAGAAGACUUUGUAAGGUAGGGCAUAUAUAGGAUGGCAGGGGUAUGUAUGAAAUGUUAUUUGUAAACCGGUGCUCUUUGAAAAAAAGUCUGUUCAAAUCUUUUUAAAUUUUGGUUUUUGUCUUCCAGCACAUUAAAUAUCUCUAGAGAGAGCUUUACAAGAAAGUGAUAUGGUUUUAUAAGCAAUUAUUUAAGUCAAUGGAGGACAUUGGUAUUUUAGAUGUCAAAUAUAUGGCAUAUACAAAGAUUGAGGUGUGUAUUUACACUUUAUAUUGCUAAGGACCUUGUGCAUUGGGUUGUGACUUGGAACAUCCAUAAGGUUCAAGCAUUUCAAAAUGGUGACUAUUUCAGAGCUUCUCAUGUUCCUAUAAUUUGUUUCAACUUAUGGGUAAGAACAUAGAUAUAUGCUGUUUGUUUCUUUAAUAUAUUUAUUAUUUUCAUAGCAUAGUCAGAGUAUUGAGCAGUAAGGGUAUUGAACUCUUGUCUGGACUAUUUCUAUGAAGUGUUGAAGGUGCUCUUUGCCAUAAAUAUUUAGUUUUACCUUUUUUAUGAUGUGCCCUACUCUAACAAUUUCCUUGUUUUGAGUAACACAUAACAAUAAUUUGAAAUCAAGCAUUUCACUCUAUCAUACUAGGCUAAAUCUGGAUGAACAAUACCUUUUACACUUAGACUUGUCAAUGCAAUAUGCACUAGUAAAUAUAAAACACAUCCCACUUAUAGAUUACAUUGCAACAACACUACCCAUUGUGACUCCAAUCACUAAAAGAGCUCUUGGGAAGUUGCAGAUAGGCAUUCUCCAUCUAUCUUAGUUUUAAAUUCUUUAAAAUUUGUUUGUUCUUUCAGGUGUAUUCCAAUUUUAAGUAGUGGAAUUCAAAUGUUGUCACUAACUAUGUAAUAGUAUUAUUGAUUCACAAACAAAAAUAUAACAAAGCAUGACUAUAUUCCUAGAUCAGGAGAUUGGUAAGCAUGAAGUACAUAUGUGAACAACAUGUUUUGAAUCAUAUGGCAAGUUAUAAAAGGUAAUAAUUUUAUAUGAAAAACAUACAUGCUAUAACUUGGUAUAAGAGCUAAGUGCACUUCACCACUUUGAGCAUACUUGAAAAGCAUAGCAUUCCAUGAAACACAGUCCUAAAUACGCUCUUGAAUGUUGUCCAUACAAAGUACUUUGGAUGAAGCUUUGAUUAAGCUAUUGUCCUUUUCCUUAGGGUGUGACAUUUUGGCCUAUACCAUACAUACACCUAGUAUCCAACGUUGAAAGUCCUGAAGGAACACUUCUAGUUGACAUAGAAGCUCAUUCACUGCCUUGCAGCUUUGAGCCUUCUCUUCACCAAAUAGUGUAUUACAGCCCGCCUCCAGGUGUUCGGCUGUAGACAGACAAAUUGGGAAGGUACACUGUGGUGCCAAGUAUGGGGCUAUGCCGAUUGGGGAAUAAACAGCAUAUACCAACCACUUCACCUAGGACGUUGGUUUGUCCAUACAAAAAGCCCAUAGCAAGGCCUCAAGAGUCUGAUUUCAUUCACUUGGUUUGCCCAUCACUCUGAGGGUGAUACGUGCUCAAGAAGGUGAGUUUGGUCCCCAGGAUGAACAGCAAUAUUCAAAAGGAGCUCAAGAACUUCAAGUCCCUAUAAGAGACUAUCUCCCUCAGUAUCCUGUGAAAGUGGGCUAUCUCCAUCCAGAACAGCUCGGCCACCUUUUCUGUAGAUGCCUUUGAUGACACCUGGCCACAUCAUGCCCUCCCACUGUCGGUAGCCCCACAACAAAGUCUAUUGAAAUGCUAUCAAAUGGAUGAGCAGAAGUCCCAAGGAAGCCUCUAUCUCCAAUUUUGUUAUCUAGCAUGCUGGACACUGCACUAUUAGUGAUGCAUGUCUUUUAGGAGGCCCUUUCAAAUAAAAUCUGCUCUUGAUCUCCACAAGCAUCUGUCCUAUACCAGGAUGGCCUACGAAAAUCCCUAUAUGGCACUCCUUGAAGAUCACACAAGGCACUAUUUUUGCUUAUAACUAUUGGGGAGUGUUUUUAUUUUGGAAUAGGGUAGAUUUAUUAAUAGCAAUGGGUGUGGUUUAUUAUAUCCAAGAAGCAAGGUUGGGAGCUUGGAAACAGUCACAAUUGGUGAGGUGUUCAAAGUAUAAAAACUUUGCGAUGCAUUGCAUGUAGCAACAAUUGGUUUGCUUAAUAGUAGUGUUAUUCUUACUUAUUAAUCCAAAAUAAAUUUUAUAAUUAUAGAUAUGUUUAUAAUUUAUAAAAACAAGAUUAAUCUUAUUACAUAUCAACCACUAGAUGGUAGAAUAAAAAAUAAUAUACUAAAAAGUGUUUAAAAUUUUUAUAAAUUACAAACAUAUUUAUAAACUAUAAAUACAAGAUUAAUCUAAAUGAAUAACAACUAUUAGAUGGUAGAAUAUCCUAGAAUAUCCACUACCAUCUCUAUAGGUUUGCUUAAGCAAACCAAAAAUAGUAAUAGGGCGUUUGGAUCUUUUAUAUAUACCAUAGGUAGAUAUAUAAGGGUUAGAAUUGAUUUAUUUUUUGGAUAUAUCUUGGGUUUUUUAUUUUUUUUUAACACAGCCAUUUAUUUUUAUAUUCAAUUUCAAGAGUUCACCCCAAGGUUGAUGCGCAGUCUAGUCUCCUCAAAGAAUUGAGUCAGUGUAAUGUUAAGCAAGUUCACUAUGUUGAUUAUCUUGUUUAGGCCAUAGUAUUUUAUAAUAAUAUAUCUUUUGUUAUUCAGCCUUUCUACUUGGAUGAAGUCUUUUGUAAUAUAAGGGUUUCUAUUAUCUAUGAUUCUUUCUUUUUACUUCCUCAUUGUUGUUUAUUUCUUCAAUGUUUCUUUAUCUUUUUUUUCCAUUUUCAUAUUCUUUCUUUCUGAAAUUUUAUUGCUCUUUCCUUUUUACUUUGAUAAUUCAAACUUCUUUUCCUUAAAGGAGAGAGGGGAUGCACAGGAAUCUAGCCCAAUGAUGGAGUAAAGAUAAACAAUAAUGGUAUUAGAAUAAAGAUAAUUAUAAUAAGUUAAAACAGAACAUUUGGCCUGACUGAGUAAGGUAAAAUGGAUAUGAUAGUAGAGUGAAGUUAAACAUAGUGAGAAUGAGGUAUACCCAGUAAAACAUAUAAUUCAAAAGGUGGAUGACAAUUGAUAUCAAAGUAAUUUCAAAAGAGCCAUCAAAAGGAGAAGCCCAUGCAAUGAUCUUGUUACCUGCUUUCAUGGGGAGUGUGAGGCUCUAGUGUUUCCAAGUGCAAGGAUUGAUAGGGAGUUGACAAGCUUUUGCCCUUAUUGAUUCAAGGAUGUCCCAUAUGUUUGUCAAUAGUUUAUUACUCUCAAAACUCAAAUUCUCUAUAGGAAAGGUACCAUUGGAGCUGGCUAUUGAGAUAGCUGAUGGAGGAAUUAUGAAGUUGACCAUAAUCACACAAAGUGAAUUCAAUAUGGGAGGUUUCAUGAUAUAUGGCCAUUUCCAUGUGUUGGAGAUGGGGAUCAUUAAUAUCAUCAUUGGCAUUAAGACCCUUCACCAACUUUAGGAGAUCUCAAUGAACUUUGUUCUGCAGAUCUUGUGGCAAGGGGUAAACCAAUCUCCAUCAAUUCAGAUUGCCUUGGCAGCUCAAUAUUCUUAAUUAGUGGCAAACGGAGUUGAGCUGGUGCUUUAUCAUUCAUCCAUAGGAGUUUGAGAAAAUCAUGUAGGGAGCAUAUGGACCUAAGUAGAUCUUAUGGUGGGGUCUAGUUAGUCCAGUUGAGACAUAGACAAGAAGAAAGUAGAGAAGAAAGUAGGGCAUUAGUGGAUGAAUGUGACAGUGUGAGUGACAAGACUUAGAAGAAAAUAUGGAUAUUGGAGAUGGUUGUAAGCAACUAAAGAGAAUGAUUUGACACGAUCCAUGGGGUUCAAAUAUAGAGGGAAAGGGCCUAUGAACAAAAAUGCACCUUUUUUUUUCAUUCGAUUAAGGGAUCUUAGAUAUUUGGGAUUAAGUGUCCUUGGGUUUGAAUAGUAUUGGGCUGGGUGACCUCCUGGGAAGUUCAAAUUCAGAAGUUUACAUUUGGUAUUAGAGAGCUCUCAAAGUCUAAUUUUAUUGGUUGACUUAAGGGAAUUACACCACAUGUUGAGAUUGAUAUCUGGUAGGUUCAAUUUGCUUCUAGCUAGGCUCGACUUGAGGGGUAGGGUUCUCUCAGCUUUCAUUCAUGAGGGCAUGAACUUACAGAGAAAUGUAGUGAAUUGUAAACAACCAAAGAAAAAAACUUGAGAGACGAUCCAUGGGGUUCAAAUAUAAAGGGAAAGGGCCUAUGAACAAGAGUACACUGUGAGACACAAAUCCCUACACCCCAAAGUGGAGCCGAAAAGAUGCCACAUGGUAGUGGCCGAAGCGAAAGCCAAACAAGCAUAACACGUUUGGACUAAAAGCUCCAACUUGAGGAGUCCGAGAUAGAUUUGAGAUGGAGUCCGAGAUGGAGUCUGAGAUAGACCUGAGAUGGAGUUCGAGAUGGACCCGAGAUGGAGUCUUAAAUGGAGUCUAAGAUGGAGUCUGAGAUGGACCAAGAUGGAGUCCGAGAUAGACUCGAGAUGGAAUUCGAGAUGGAGUCUAAAGAAGACCUGAGAUGGAGUCCGAGAUGGAAUCCAAGAUGGACCUGAGAUGGAGUCUGAGAUGGACCGAGAUGGAGUCUGAGAUGGAGUCCGAGAUGGAGUCCAAGGUGGACCCAAGAUGGAGUUUGAGAUGGAGUCUAAGGUGGACCCAAGAUGGAAUCUGAGAUGGACCGAGAUGGAUUCUGAGAUGGAGUCUGAGAUGGAGUCCGAGAUGGAGUCCAAGGUGGACCCGAGAUGGAGUUUGAGAUGGAGUUCAAGGUGGACCCAAGAUGGAGUCCGAGAUGGAUCGAGAUGGAUUCUGAGAUGGAGUCUGAGAUGGACCCGAGAUGGAGUCUGAGAUGGACCAAGAUGAAGUCCGAGAUGGAGUCUGAGAUAGACUCGAGAUGGAAUCCGAGAUGGACUUGAGAUGGAGUCCGAGAUGGACCGAGAUGGAGUCUGAGAUGGAGUCCAAGAUGGAGACCGAGAUGGAGUCCGAGAUGGAGUCCAAGGUGGACCCGAGAUGGAGUCCGAGAUGGACCAAGAUGGAGUCUGAGAUGGACCUGAGAUGGAAUCUGAAAUGGAGUUCGAGAAGGACCCGAGAUGGAGUCUGAAGUAGAGACCAAGACCAAGACCGGGACCGAGACCGAGACCGAAGUCGAGACUGGGACUAGGACCAAGACCGAGCCUAAGCUCGAAUCCGAGUCCAAGUCUAAGUCUGAGUCUGAGUUUGAGUCUGAGAGGGUGAAAGCCCAAAGUGUUCGUCUCCCAAACCCUAGGGGGUUUGGUGAGCUCCAAAAGUAUAGUAGGAGGAGGACUCUAGUGGAACCAGUUUGGCCUAGGAAGGCUAUACCCAGAUGUUGGGUGACAGGAUAACCACUGGGAGGUCCAAGGCUAGAGUGAAUACGGACCAUCAAGUGGGAUAGCUUGGUAAAGUGUUCAAGAGCUGGCUCUAGUUCCCUGAGAGAUUGAAUGGUCAAUGCACCUAAUCCAAGCGUGGGUGGCACUACCUACUUGGAUACCUGGUGUGGCUUAACGGAACUUCACUUUAAGCCCAUGGCUAGAGCACCUAAAGGCAGAAGGUGGGGAGAGUACCCACGGGGCUCACGUAGGGCCACGGUAUUCUAAAAUGUUGUUCCGAUGUCCUAAACUAGGGAAAGGAGGAGGAGCAAUCCUUUAGUGUAGUGACUAAGGAUACGGUCACAUGGUGAGGAAGUCCCAAUGGACAAUGGGACUUAGUGGCCGGGCUUACGGGCCUUGAUUUAGUGGUAGUGUUGGCAAACAUAGCUAUUGACAGAAAAGGGACUUGGUAGGAAUUGACAAAGGGAUAUUAAGGAAGGCUAUCCCCCAUGUCUGUGGGCAUUCUAAAGAUGCUAAGGAGUGGAUCUGGGAUGACCACUCGUGGACGGAUGGCCCAGUCUUGGAGAGCCGGGACUGUGAUGCAAGUGGUAUUGGAUCACUAGUGUGGCAAAGGUGAAUGGGCAUGGCCUUAGCGUAACGGGCUGAUAUAUCAGUGGUACCUUUGAGUGUCGGUCAUGGGACCUGACACGUGGAGCACUUGGACCAAGUGCAACUAUUGAGUGGCAUCGAUGCCAUUCUUGGGGCUAGCAAGUCCCCAAGUCUGGAAUAGGACUUAUGGAAGUUGUAAGUGAGACUCCUCCAAGUGGUCAGAGGUGUGGUUAAGUGACUAAAGUAGAAUGGAAAAUUUAGUCGCUUACAUACACUUCAUUUUCCAAUCGAUUAAUGAUAUUUGGGAUUAAGUGUCCUUGGGUUUGAAUAGUACUAGGUUGAGUGACCUCUCGGGAAGUUCAAAUUCAAAAGUUUAUAAUGGUCACAGAUUAGGUAGGAAUAAGGCAAUAUUAAAAGCAUUAAAGGAUAUUGAAAAAGCAAACCUCUAAAAGGGUGACUAAGGUAUUGCAAAGAUUGAUAAGAGUCCAAUGAUAAGUUAGGUGUUAAACACCACAUCAACCUGAAAGUUGGUAUAGCACCUAUUGCUAAAGCAUUUGUCAAACUCAAUCAGGAGGAGAGGGUAGUGGUGGACAAAAUGGUGAAUUGUGUGUUGACUAUCGCCUCCUCAACAAGUCCACAAUCAAGAACUUCUUUCCAAUUCUGAACAUGGAAGAGCUCUUCAAGGAGCUGGGCUAGCUGUAUUUCUUCACCAAACUAGAUUUGAGAUUUGACUAUUACCAAAUAUUUGUCGCUGACAAGGACUGCUUCAAGACAGCUUUCGGGAUAGUGUAAGCAACUAAAUUUUCCAUUCUACUUUAGUCACUUAACCACACCUCUAACCACUUGGAAGAGUCUCAUUCACAACCUCCUUAAGUCCAAUUCAGGACUUGGGACUUGCUAGUCCCGAGAAUGGCAUCCAUGCCACUUAACCCUUGCACUUGGUCCAAGUGCUCCAUGUGACCAAUCCCAAGACCGACACCCAAAGGUACCACUGACAUAUCAGCCUGUUACGCUAAGGCCAUGCUCAUUCACCUUUGCCGCACUGGUGGUCCAAUACCACUUGCAUCACAAUCCCGUCUCUCCAAGACUGGACCGUCCGUCCACGAGUGGUCAUCCCAGAUCCACUCCUUAGCAUCCUUAGGAUGCCCACAGACAUGGGGAAUAGCCUUCCCCAACAUCCCUUUGUCAGUUCCUGCUAAGUCCCUUUUUCGUCCAUGGCCAUGUUCAUCAACACUGCCACUAGAUCAAGGCCCGCAGGCCCGGCCACUAAAUCCCAUUGUCCUUUGGGACUUCCUCACCAUGUGACCGUAUCCGUAGUCACUACUCUAGAGGAUUGCUCCUCCUCCUUUCCCCCAUUUGGGACUUCGGGACAACAUUUCGGAACACCGUGGCCCUAAGUGAGCCUCGUGGGUACUCUCCCCACCUUCUGCCUUUAGGUGCUCUAGCCAUGGGCUUAGAGCAAGGUUCCGUUGAGCCACACCAGGUAUCCAAGUAGGUAGUGCCACCCACACUUGGACUGGGAGCAUCGGCCAGUCGAUCUCCCAGGGGAACUAGAGCCGGCUCUUGAACAUUUCAUCAAGCUAGCCCGCUUGUCGGUUUGUAUUCACUCUAGUCUUGGACUUCCUAGUGGUCAGUUCAUCACCCAACACUGGGUCUGGCCUUCCUGGGCCAAACUGGCCUUUUUUGGCCAAACUGGCUCCACUGCAGUCCUCCCCCUUACUAUACUUUUGGAGCUCACCAAACCCCCCAGGGUUUGGGAGACGAACGCUUUGGGCUUUCACCCUCUUAGACUCGAACUCGGACUCGGACUUGGACUCGGACUCAGGCUCGGACUUGGACUCGGUCUCGGGCCUGGUCUCGGCCUCGGCCUCGGUCUCGGUCUCGGUCCCGGUCUCGGUCCCAGUCUCGGUCUCGGUCUUGGUCUCGGUCUCGACCUCAGACUCCAUCUCGGACUCCAUCUCGGGUCUAUCUCAGACUCCAUCUCAGACUCCAUCUCGGGUCUAUCUCGGACUCCAUCUCGGGUCCAUCUUAGACUCCAUCUCGGGUCCUUCUCGGACUCCAUCUCGGACUCCACCUCGGACUCUAACUCGGGUCCACCUCGGGUCCACCUUGGACUCCAUCUCGGACUCCACCUCGGAUUCCAACUUGGGUCCAUCUCGGACUCCAUCUCGGAUCCACCUCAGACUCCAUCUCGGACUCUGUCUUGGUCCAUCUCGGACUCCAUCUUGGACUCCAGCUCGGACUCCAACUCGGGUCCAUCUCGGACUCUGUCUCGGUCCAUCUCGGACUUCGUCUCGGACCGCAUCUCGAGUCCAUCUCAGACUCCAUCUCGGGUUCAUCUUAGACACUUCUACAUGUCAUGUGUUAGUCCUUUUUGGGUCCCUUUUUUAGAGCCUCGCUUAUUGCUCGCUUCGUGCUCAUUCCUCGAGCACUUUGUUGGGAGUUCCACUCCCGCUCUCGACCUUUCAAGUCGGAGCUUUUAGUUCACACGUGUUACACUCAUUUGGCUUUCGCUUCGGCCACUACCACGUGGCACCCUUCCGACUCCACUUUGGGGCCUAAGGAUUUUGUGUCUCACAACUCCACCACCCAUAGACGAAGUUCGAUGUCUUCAUCGAACGGUAAACCCUUUUAUAAAAUAACACCCACAGGUAUUACCAUUUCCAUCCUUGGCACCCAGCCAAUAUUUGUCUAUGGUUUGACCCCAAAGGCUCACCAUACCUUGUCCAUCCUCUAAGGAGCAUAGUCUCUCUAACAUAGAGACUCACUCGACCACCUAGGGUGGUUUGCUCCCUUUUAUCGGUUCAAUUCUCAUUAAACCCAUUAGAGACACCUUCUCUAACUCAAUUCCACUACUCAUUCUUGAGUAGUCUCAGAUUCCAUUGACAUAACCUCUGCACUUUGGAACUUUUAAUUUUGACUUCUCCGAGUUAAUUUCCUAGGUGUCUCCGACACCUUAUGUUGCAUAUAGUGCAACUCCACUUCCCUAUCCUAAGAAGUUCUUUACUUGAGGGUACCAUCAUCCUCACUUUGAUAUUGUGCCACCUUUGGGCACUAAAUUUUAGUUAUUAUAAUUGGUGCUAGGGCUGCCCAUGGCCCUAUUAUUUGGCUACUUUACCGCUCCUCUCUUUGGAGCAUCCACUUUCGCCAAAUUGGAGUAGUUGGGAAUCCAUCCUUGGGGAAACAUUGCCUUUCCCACAAUUCAUUAGUGCCCAACACAUUAGUGUUCUCGGCCUAACUUUGCCAUUUGGAUUCUUUCUCAUGAUUCCCAUGGCUCUUUUUUUAGCCAUUAGUCUUUUGCUCCUAUCCUUGAUUGUUGCACCUAGCAACAUAGGAUCGCUACCUCCAUUUUUGAGGUUUCCUUUUAGUUCUAUAGCAAGCACUUUGCUUUGCCAAGUCCAGAGGGUGUUCACCCCUAAUAUGUUUCUUUAACAUUUUCUGCCAUGGGCUCUAUCCACAACCUAACUUUUGAAACCCUCCUUUGGAUCUCUUAUAAAGACUACUUUCCUUGGACUUACUAUGCCAUAGCAUUGACAUAGCUCAUUUCCCUUAGGUGUUCUUCCCACUUGGUCACCUUGACCAAGCCACACCAUUAUCAAUCGUUCAAAUCAACACUUUGAACUAGGAAUCGUAUUCCUUAACCCAAACAAAGACCUUAUCCUUGUUUAACCACAAGAUCACUUAGUGAUCUCAUCUUAACCCCUUAAUAGGUCUACCAAUAGGAACUAGGUCUUCCAGACCCUUCUAAGUUGUUGAUUAUGACCCCGGGGGCAUCCCCCACACUUGGCAGUGCACCCUUCCGGCCAAGGAUCCAUACAACUAAGACUUGGGUGUCCCCAUCUCAUUCACCACGUCCUUGGUGCCCUUUGCACCAAAGUGUUCAAGUUAGAUAUGCCAAGCUUUCACUCUAAGCCAUCUAACCGUGCAUCACGACUCUGGGGCAUCCCCCGCUUGGCAGUGUGCCCAAGCCAAUCUCCUCAUUGAGAGUCUAUGACCACCGAAAUAUGAGUGUCCUCAUAUUCCAAACCAUCACCACGCCCUAGUGAUUUGGGACUCGAACCCAAGCACUAGAGGGUCAAGACUCGAACCCAACCUCCGUAUAUGCAUCUACGGAUGGCAUCACACUGGAUGUCUGGCGUGACUCCCCACGCUAGUGCACCAACAUGCGCUAUAGAUCACACAUUAGGAACCUAGUUCCUUUGCACUGCCAAGUCCUCUCACUUGACAAGUCUGUGAUCAUGCAUGAACUCUUCUAUGCUCGGCCCCAUGGGCCACCCCAUUGAAGUUAGCACCUUCAACUAGGGGAUUUGUUCCCCUAACUUGCCAAUCUCACUUAACAAGUUAUCCGGCCAUUGUAAUAUAGUUCAUGCAUAAGCAUGAAAGUCCUUAAUCAUCGACUUUCAUUCAAAGCCCUCUCUUUGAACACUUGGGAACUACUUCCCCAACCUUGAUAGCCUCGCCUCAUAGCCAGCUUCAAGACCACGCUUCUGCUAUGCCACUCUGAUUUCAUGCGCUCUAGGAACCAUUUACACUUGGCUUUCUAGGUACUUAUCUACCCAGAAUUGUCUUUGGGAACCUUCAAGGAACUUUGUUCCUUAGUUUGUUAAGGCUUCUCCUUUGCAAGCUCCCUACUCACCACAUGGUCUAACAUGGAUAAUUCCACAUUUUAGACUCUUCAUGGUACUGCGGUUGCUAGUAGUAACAUCUUUGAGCACUCUCUUGAUUUUCCACUCCCAACUUGCAUAACCACCAUUGAUUAUGCCCUUUGAUUUCUAUGGUUCUAUUCCAUCCCAAUACUACUUGCCCUUUGGCCUUAUAUGUUUCCCUUAGUUAUUCUCCUCCAGACUAGGAAGAUAGCUUUGCACCUUUUACCAUGCCCUAGCAAGUAUUCAUAGGGAUGAACUUAUCUAAUAGUUUAGGGAGUGGUUCCUCAAUUUGAGCACGCUCACCUUAUAAUCCCACACACUAUGAUUAACAUUGCUACUUAUGGGCUUCUAUAUGCCCAUCACUAGCCUUGCCAAAAUCCCAUUUUUGGCUAUGUCCAAAUCGGGUAGACGGAUUUCUCCCAUCUCCAGAACCAUGGACAUUUAGAUAGCACCUCUUAUCCAUCAUUCGCUAGGGACUUAUCUAAUGCCCUUGCGAUACCAAACACCACUUCCUGGUGUUUUAGAGUGUUUGGGUGUCCCAAUGAUGGCCUUCUUUAGCAAUGAGCAUUCCCUUUACGACAUUGACUUAUUAUUUCACAACAUAAGCAAUUUCUCCCCCAUAAGGGUAUAUUUAACUUCCUUAUCCCCAUAAAAAGUCUUAGGUAGUUACCUUCUACCAAUUUAACCAAUUAUUUCGCACCUUUUGCUUAGUUGCCUCAUAGUUAUCAAGUCCUACAACUCAUUGCUGGUGCUUCCACACCUCCAUCAUUAUUUGGGUCACCACACUCUAACCACAUGCCUUCCAGCUUAGGCUAUGCCAUUCCCAUUUUCGUUGGGAUUCCCUUGGCAAGGGGUUCUUAUGAACCCACCAACAUAACCUCAAGGUAUCACACCUUGGCAUAUUUGGUGUCUCCACACCAUUGGCCCCACGAGCCUAUCCUUAUGACACUACUUAUUAGUGUCUAGGUUUUUGCUAAGACCAAUAUAGUUGUUCCUCAUGUUAACUAUCCGUUAGCACCGCACUAUAGUGUUUGCACCCAACUCUGGGCCAAAGUUGCUUUCUUCUGGGAACAUCUUUCCCACACAACUUUAGUAUGGCACAUUUUGCCAUCAAUGAGAUACUUACUGUUCUCAUAUUUGGAUCUUAUGAUCCUCCCCAUACCUCAUGGGGCACCAUACACCUCAAUCCAAAUGCUUCAACCAAUCCCUUAGGACCAUUUCAUGACUCCACUUGAGUUAUCUAGCAUUUUGGACUUUGCAAAUCCAACAACCUACAAGGUCUUAAUCUUCGAGGUGCCAACUUGCUAGAAUACAACUUCUUGUAUUCAUGUCCUACUCAUAAGGACCAUCUUUGCAAGUGUUACUCCGACACUUGAUAAUUUUCUUGGGGCUAACCUUUGCCCCUUAUGACUACUUGUCCAUGUGAUGAGAAUAGCAACUCAUCUUUAAGUACACCCCCAACUCCUUGGGUUGUUCCAGCAUUUAUUAGAGGUAACCCUGGCUACUAUUUCAAAGACUGGUGUCCUCUUCUGUAUUUGACCUCCCAUAGUCACCAAUUCCAGUCUCAAAUUUAUGAGUACCAGCCUCAACUAUAUAAAGGUAAUCUUGUGACUCCUUUAUUGUUUUGGAGUCUGCAUCUUUCUUGUGAUCCCAACUGUAGUUGUUUACCACAACUACAUCAGCCAGUUUGCUAAGUCAAGUGCUCAUCUAGAUCACAUCCUCAACUCUCUGAGGAAACCCUUAUACUGUUCCCAAGAUCCCAAAGUCAUUCCCUUACUGGCCCUUUUCUAUCCACCACAUCGUGCCCAAGUUCACGCAUGAACUUGAGUGGAGAGCCAUGUCCUCUUGACAUGCUACUCCUCAAGGAUAGGCCCACUCCUAGGACCUUCCGAUGCCAACGUCAAUGGUGAUAUACUUGAGCACCAAUAAAAGUCGGACUAAGGAACGGCUCCGAUACUAAAUUGUAAGCGACUAAAUUUUCCAUUCUACUUUAGUCACUUAACCACACCUCUGACCACUUGGAAGAGUCUCAUUCACAACCUCCUUAAGUCCAAUUCAGGACUUAGGACUUGCUAGUCCUGAGAAUGGCAUCCAUGCCACUUAACCCUUGCACUUGGUCCAAAUGCUCCAUGUGACCAGUCCUAAGACUGACACCAAAGGUACCACCAACANNNNNNNNNNNNNNNNNNNNNNNNNNNNNNNNNNNNNNNNNNNNNNNNNNNNNNNNNNNNNNNNNNNNNNNNNNNNNNNNNNNNNNNNNNNNNNNNNNNNACACCACAUCAACCUGAAAGUUGGUAUAGCACCUAUUGCUAAAGCAUUUGUCAAACUCAAUCAGGAGGAGAGGGUAGUGGUGGACAAAAUGGUGAAUUGUGUGUUGACUAUCGCCUCCUCAACAAGUCCACAAUCAAGAACUUCUUUCCAAUUCUGAACAUGGAAGAGCUCUUCAAGGAGCUGGGCUAGCUGUAUUUCUUCACCAAACUAGAUUUGAGAUUUGACUAUUACCAAAUAUUUGUCGCUGACAAGGACUGCUUCAAGACAGCUUUCGGGAUAGUGUAAGCAACUAAAUUUUCCAUUCUACUUUAGUCACUUAACCACACCUCUAACCACUUGGAAGAGUCUCAUUCACAACCUCCUUAAGUCCAAUUCAGGACUUAGGACUUGCUAGUCCUGAGAAUGGCAUCCAUGCCACUUAACCCUUGCACUUGGUCCAAAUGCUCCAUGUGACCAGUCCUAAGACUGACACCCAAAGGUACCACUGACAUAUCGGCCUGUUACGCUAAGGCCAUGCUCAUUCACCUUUGCCGCAUUGGUGGUCCAAUACCACUUGCAUCACAAUCCCAUCUCUCCAAGACUGGACCGUCCGUCCACGAGUGGUCAUCCCAGAUCCACUCCUUAGCAUCCUUAGGAUGUCCACAGACAUGGGGAAUAGCCUUCCCCAACAUCCCUUUGUCAGUUCCUGCUAAAUCCCUUUUUCGUCCAUGGCUAUGUUCAUCAACACUGCCACUAGAUCAAGGCCCGCAGGCCCGGCCACUAAAUCCCAUUGUCCUUUGGGACUUCCUCACCAUGUGACCGUAUCCGUAGUCACUACUCUAGAGGAUUGCUCCUCCUCCUUUCCCCCAUUUGGGACUUCGGGACAACAUUUCGGAACACCGUGGCCCUAUGUGAGCCUCGUGGGUACUCUCCCCUUAGGUGCUCUAGCCAUGGGCUUAGAGCGAGGUUCCGUUGAGCCACACCAGGUAUCCAAGUAGGUAGUGCCACCCACACUUGGAUUGGGAGCAUCGGCCAAUCGAUCUCCCGGGGGAACUAGAGCCAGCUCUUGAACACUUCACCAAGCUACCCUGCUUGUUGGUCCGUAUUCACUAUAGUCUUGGACUUCCCAGUGGUCAGUUCAUCAUCCAACACUGGGUCUGGCCUUCCUAGGCCAAACUGGCUCCAUUGCAGUCCUCCCCCUUACUAUACUUUUGGAGUUCACCAAACCCCCCAGGGUUUGGGAGAUGAACGCUUUGGGCUUUCACCCUCUCAGACUCGAACUCGGACUCGGACUCAAACUCGGACUCGGACUCGGACUCGGACUCGGACUCAAACUCGCACUCGAGCUCGGGCCCGGUCUCAGUCUCGGUCCCGGUCCCGGUCUCGGUCUCGGUCCCGGUCUCAGUCCCGGUCCCGGUCUCGGUCUCGGUCCCGGUCUCAGUCCCGGUCUCGAUCUCGGUCUCGGUCUUGACCUCGGACUCCAUCUCGGACUCCAUCUCGGGUCUAUCUCAGACUCCAUCUCAGACUCCAUCUCGGGUCUAUCUCGGACUCCAUCUCGGGUCCAUCUUGGACUUCAUCUCGGGUCCUUCUCGGACUCCACCUCGGAGUCCAACUCGGGUCCACCUCGGGUCCAUCUCGGACUCCAUCUUGGACUCCACCUCGGAUUCUAACUUGGGUCCAUCUCGGACUCCAUCUCGGAUCCACCUCAGACUCCAUCUCGGACUCCGUCUCGGUCCAUCUCGGACUCCAACUCGGGUCCAUCUCGGACUCCGUCUCAGACUCCAUCUCGGACUCCGUCUCGGACCCCAUCUUGGGUCCAUCUCGGACUCCAUCUCGAGUUCAUCUCGGACACUUCUACAUGUCAUGUGUUAGUCUUUUUGGGUCCCUUUUUUAGAGCCUCGCUUAUUGCUCGCUUCGUGCUCAUUCCUCGAGCACUUUGUUGGGAGUUCCACUCCCGCUCUCGACCUUUCAAGUCGGAGCUUUUAGUCCAAACAUGUUACGCUCGUUUGGCUUUCACUUCGGCCACUACCACGUGGCGCCCUUUCGGCUCCACUUUGGGGCCUAGGGAUUUUGUGUCUCACAGAUAGAUGUUAUAGAUGCCUUGGAUGCAAGGGUAGGAGCUAUCUUGAAACAAGGGGAGAACCUCAUAGCCUUCAAGAGUAGCAAACUUAGUGACAUGAAGACUUGCCAGCUGGUUUAUGAGCAAGAGAUAGAUCACAGAGGGGCAUAAUCAGGACCCAGUACUAUCACCAAUACUAGAUCACUUCCAGCCCUCAUAUUCUGAUUUCAGCUUCAAAGAUGGGCAAAGGAUACCCUUUGUCACUUGCUGGGAAGCCAAGAAGAUAUACUACCUCAUGAGGACUUUACGGAUCCGAGAUGUAGGGGCCAGGCUUAUCCAAUGUGCAGUGGAUGUUGACAGAAACUGGAGACCUAGGAAUCUCCCACAAGAUAUGAUACCCAACUGGAAGUCAUGGCAUGCACUAUCCUCUAUCUUCGGUUCCUAUGAUGAGGAAAGGUUGUAGAUAGUGUCAUUGAGGACUCCAAACAACUAGAUUGACAAUACGGGAUGGGAUGGUGGCACAGCAUCAUCAAAUGGACAACCAGCUUUGGACACGAGAUCAACCACUUGCUUGACGAGGAAAACAGGUUGUGUGGAUAAGAACCAAGUAGCCAUGACUAGGUACCAUUUGUACACAGAGGAGAUCAACCUAAACAAGAUACAUAGUGACAAUUUAUAAUAAGCUCUCAAAUUGGAAUAGACAAACAUUUUAUGAAUAGGACAUGAAUAUAAGAAAUUGUAUUCAAGUGUGGUGGCAUUUCAAAAAUAGUCAUCAGGCUAAAACCUUAUAAGUCAUCAGCUUAACAAAAUUCAAAAGCUAGAUCACUUAAUAGAGUCAAGGGAUGGUCCAAAAAGUUUGGAGGAAGCACAUUUGAACAAAUAUAUAUUGUACCUAAUGAAAGAUUAGAAAGAUUAUAAUAUCUAAGUAUGAGAAUAAUGAAUAUUUUAUUGAUGGUGGAAAGUGCUAUACUAAACUUCUGAAAAUGUGUUCAUAGAAUAAAACAAUUUUUGCAAAGAGUUGUAUAUAAACACUACGGUGCAAUGCUAACUAAUAAUUGACAUAAGAAACAACUACUAUAUCUUAGAAAAUACCUAGACACAAGUGGGAUGAUGCUACCGCACAAGGAGCCACCAACUUUACAUCCAACCAAAGUCCAAUGCACCAAAGGGACAGAAAUAGUGACACCAACACUGCCUGAUAUACCAAGAUCUGCUCUCCCCCCACAUCAACUGGAACACCCACUGCUAGCCACCCCUGAAUAUGCAGUGCUGUUACCUGAGACCCUCCAGGAAACAACACCCAGACAAUGAAGCAGGGACAGCUAGCAGUGACACCAAUGGAGGAGCUGUGGAGCCAUGGGAGAAAAUCAACACGUGAACACUAAUCCACCUUGCAUUUUUGCUCCCGAGGAAUUAAAAUCAUGAUCACUCGAUGCUACUGCCUUUCCUUUAAGCGAAGAACACAACUUUAAACAACAUAUAAAUAGAUACAGUUUAAAGCUGUGGUUAGAGUUUCCUGAAUCCAUCAGUUGGAUGUAACCAGUAUAUGAAUGAAUGAAUGAAUUUUGUCUUGUGCUCCAAUGGUACCAAUUGAAGAACGGCAUGGGUGUUCAGUCAUACCUUUAAGGCAGAUGUGACAAACUCAACAAGAUUGCCUAAGAUUGUGGACGUCUUUUUUCAGAUUCAGCAUCCCUGGACAGAUCUAAUAUGUGUGUGGAGGACAGUCUAACAAACAGACUUGUUUCAGGUCAAGGGCCUGUUUUUCUUGCUACUUCGUUAAAACAUUUAGAAACUUGUUCUAGAGCCGAUCCCGGGUUCGAACCCAAGAGGGACUCCUUUUAAUUUCCUGGGGCACGGCGAACACGUGACUCCUGUCUAAUUUUUGCGUGCUCAACGUGGAUUUUGCGUCAAGCUGAUCUUCACGCGUUAUAUGGUUUAGAUUUAUUUUUGGCUAGCGAUUUUGACUAAAAGAGCUUCUGGAUUGGCUAUCUACAAGCAAAGUGGUAGACGAUACACGUACUCUACUUUACCAUGAAGUAUAUGAGGAGGAACACGAGAAGAAACGAGGCAACGAUCGUGAACAUGUUGCGGCCAGAUUUUGUUUCGAAGACCUGGGGGGAUCGCAAAGUCAGUAGCAGUCGAUCGAGCCAAAGAGAAGAACAAAAAUCGAGUUCGCUUAGCUUACUCUUUUGAAUCGAUCGACUGUCCCGGAAAGCAUGCCUCGCGCAGUAUCCAUUCCACUCCCCUGUGCAAUUCUAGAGAUUAGCAAAGAUCUCUUUCGAGAAAGCUUACGUGCGUACCAUUUGAUCCAGGAGUCGAGAAUGCGAUUGCGCUUCUUCAUGGAUAUCUGUUGUCAGCUGCGAGAAAGAAAUCCACAAAACGGUGAUGAAAGAUCGAAAAGAAAGACGCAGCUACGAGAGAAGCAAAUUUGGUUCUCUAGGACCAAAUUACCAAAGGGAAAAGAAAAAUGGAAGAAAGAGCUCUCGAUCUUACCGUCUUGAGCAUCCGGACUCGAUCGUGGAGGCCGUCCAGAUCUCUCUCAUUCUCUUGCUCAUCGAUCUCGCCGCUGGCAUACGAGGACGAAACAUUCCUCCCGGCUUCCAGAUUAUCAAACAGGGAGCUCCUGUUGCCGCGAUAAUCCCUGCGUCACAAACACCACAAAACCCUAGCGCCCAGAGUCGAUUGGAAAGCGUCGAAUUCUCACCGCCAUUGGCUCAUCGCUCUAAGCGCGAUCGCUCGCUCGCUCGCUCGCUAGAUCCCAAUUGCCUUCCCUAGGGCCACAGUAAAAUUUCUCUCUAGGUUUCCAUCCAGCUAGGGCUUGUGGGGGAGCGCCUUGGAUUUGCGCUUAGAUCUGGAAGCUCGUUCCAUCGGCCAGGUCUGGAUCGUGCAUUGGAUCCCGAAUGCCGGAUUCCAGGCGCUGAAAUCUUCGUUGAUCCACAUCGCGUCGGUCGGCACAGGGAUUUCGGAUGAGCUUCACGACUAUGGAGCAGCUCAAGACGAUUGGGCGGGAGCUGGCAAUGGGCUCCCAGGGGGUGUGGGGAUCGUCCAAGGAAUUCCUGGAGCUCGUCAAGACGAUUGGCGAGGCGAAAUCCAAGGCCGAGGAGGAGAGGAUCGUGCUGGCGGAGAUUGAGAGCCUCAAGCGCCGGAUCCAGGAGCCGGAUGUGCCCCGGAAGAAGAUGAAAGAGUAUAUCAUGCGCCUCGUCUAUGUGGAGAUGCUCGGCCACGACGCUUCCUUUGGCUACAUCCAUGCCGUGAAGAUGACCCACGAUGACAAUCUCUUGCUCAAGAGAUCCGGCUACUUGGCGGUCACGCUCUUUCUCAACGAGGACCACGAUCUUAUCAUCCUCAUCAUCAAUACCAUCCAGAAGGAUCUCAAGUCGGACAACUAUCUCGUGUGCUGUGCCGCGCUCACUGCCGUGUGUCGGUUGAUCAACGAGGAGACAAUCCCCGCGGUUCUUCCCCAGAUCGUCGAGCUUCUCAACCAUCAAAAGGAGCUCGUGAGGAAGAAGGCUGUCAUGGCUUUGCACAGAUUUUUCCAGAGGUCUCCUUCGACUGUGUCGCACCUCUUUCCAGCUUUCCAAGAGGUAAGUUGCUGGUUUUCUAGUUCCGAAGCUUCCUACUAAGUCUAUUGUUUUUCCAGAGACUUUGUGAUAGAGAUCCCAGCGUGAUGAGUGCUGUUUUGUGCGCGCUCUAUGACAUGAUCCUCGUAAACGUGAAGCCUUUCAAGCAUUUAGUAGCGAGUCUGGUCAGCAUUUUGAAGCAAGCCGUGGAACACAGGCUGCCAAAGUCGUAUGACUAUCACCGGACUCCAGCACCUUUCGUGCAGGUAAACUGCCGCGCUCGUUUGAUAUCAGAGUAUGCUAAGUGGGAAAUCUUGCUUCACAGAUUAAGUUGCUGAAAAUUCUCGCUUUGCUCGGGACAGGUGACAAGGCUGCCAGCGAAAACAUGUUUAAUGUGCUGGGAGAUAUUCUCAAGCGCUCGGAUUCGACCAGCAACAUUGGCAACGCGAUCUUGUACGAGUGCGUCAGGACUCUGACAUCAAUCUACACCAAUCCUCGGCUACUGCAAAAUGCAGCGGAGAUAACCGCAAAGUUCUUGAAGGUUUGUUGUGUCAUUUCAUUGCGGAGUAUAUACUGACAUAGUUUGGUGCAGAGUGAUAACCAUAACUUGAAGUACAUGGGAAUUGAUGCCCUGGGUCGGCUUAUCAAAAUUACGCCAGAGUGUGCCGAAAAUCAUCAACUGGCUGUCAUUGACUGCUUAGAGGUAGCGUCUCUAUUCCUAUUUAUUGAAGGAUCGCCUUUCAGUGCGAACUCUUGUAGGAUCCAGACGAUACGUUAAAACGGAAAACGCUGGAUCUAUUAUACAAGAUGACAAAAGCCAACAAUGUCGAAGUUAUUGUGGAACGCAUGGUGGAGUACAUCAGAAACAUCAGCGAUAACCACUACAAAACGGAGAUUUCUUCACGAGUUAUAGAGCUGGCUGAGCGAUAUGCACCAAGUAACCAAUGGUUUAUACAGGUAAUACUAUAUGGUUUAUACUUGCACUCGUCUCUUACGGACUAAAUUCGUGUGAUCGGGUGCCAGACGAUGAACCAGGUAUUCGAAAUUGCGGGAGACCUCGUGCCUCAGAAGGUUGCGCAUGACUUAAUGCGUCUCAUAGCCGAAGGAGCUGGGGAGGAGGAUGAAGAUGCUGACAGUCACCUUAGAUCGUCUGCAGUAUAUUCAUUUCAUUAUUUUCGAGUGUCUCGAGUUCUUAAUUUACUGUGUUACAGGUUCAAGCUUAUCUACAAAUACUGAAGGAACCAAAGCUUCCCUCGAUACUUCUUCAGGUACGUAGAGUUUUCUUUGUGUGCUGAUAAAUUUUCUGAAAACGUUUAAUGGGCGUCCAGGUUAUCAGCUGGGUGCUAGGUGAAUAUGGCAUUGCGGACGGCAGCCACUCAGCUGAAUUCAUUAUAGGAAAACUAUGUGAUAUUGUCGCUACACGCCCUGGUGAUGACAAGUUAAAGGUAUACAUUCUGAUUGUUUACUGCGAACGUUGACGCCGUUCACUGCUUGCAGGGUUACGUUGUUUCGGCAAUUACAAAAAUCUGUGCAUUCGAGAAAGCAGCUGGGCAGACAGUAGAUCUCAUUCCAGAGGUAGUGCCAUUCAACGUGUACUCUUAAGAUUUGACGUCUGAAAAUGUGUUGCAGUGCGUCUCGUUCAUCGAGGAACUGUACGCUUCUCAUUCUACCGAUCUACAGCAACGCAUCUAUGAAUUCCACGCCGUGCUAAAGCUAGACAGAGAUACCAUUGCAAGUAUCUUGCCUAUGGAUGCCAGCUGCGAAGACAUUGAGGUCAUCUAUGCUUUUGAUGCUCGUAACUCAAAACUGAUACUCUUCCUUCUGAUAGGUGGACAAGGAUCUCUCCUUCCUCAACUCUUUCGUCGAAUCCGCCUUAGCAAAUGGCUCUAGACCAUAUCUAUCCGACAAUGAGCGCCGUGGAAUGGGUGCAAUGACAACCUUGGCAUCCAACAAUGACGCUGGUACGUCGUCUUUACUUCGUUUCCAGCCUUACGAGAAGCCAAGCAUCCCGGAGCCUGCCGCAGCUCUCGUCACUGCGUCUCAUUAUAGCCAAGACGCGAUCGACCAGCACGACAUCUAUUCUAGUACAAUCACGGUUUCCACGAGCUCUAGAGCUCCAGAAUCUAGCAGCAACGACGGCACGAGACUCAAACUCGAGGGAGUCCAGAAAAAAUGGGGUCGUCCAACGUACACUCCUGAGGCGCAGGUGCCAAAGAAUCCCAUCAACAUAUCCGACAGUGUCAAGGUAAGCAGCAGCGCAGCAGGGAAAGAAGCAUCGAGUAGAAACAGCAGCGCUCCUCCCUACACGGAAAGAAAGCAGCCUUCGCAGGAGAUCUCUGCCGAGAAGAAGAAGCUCGCAGCAUCACUCUUUGGAAGCAAAGCAGGAGAGACUAAAGCCAAGCCGGCAGCAAAGCUACAACAAAAUGGAACGUCGAAAAAAGCUCCAGCAAAGCCAACUUCGCCGCCAGCUCCAGCUCCAGCUCCACCGCCUGCUGAUCUACUCGACUUAAGUGACAGUCUACCUCAGAUUCCCUCGGUGGAUCCGGUUGAUCAGCUGGCGGAUCUAAUCUCGGUUGAUAGCUCGGCUGCUACGUCGACCACUUCGCUCGUCGAGCAAGUUUUGGACGCUGGAAAAGUUGCGACGAAGGGGCCAUCGCCGCAAGCAUCGUUGCAAAAGGACAGUGUUUCACGCCAAGUGGGGGUGACGCCGAGCGGAGGAACAAACCCGGACCUUUUCAAGGAUUUGUUUGGAUGAGGAAAGCUCGCUCGCGUUCUCGCGUUUGGCGCGGUGGUGUGAGAUUUUCUCACAUCCUUCUGGAUCUGUAUGGUCAGUAAGAUUCUAAUGGAACACGAGAAGAGCAACAGCGGAAAUGCGUUUAUACUUCUCUAGAGAAAAGAAUUUCCAUUCCCUGCGAGUCGGGCAGUGUACAAAACUUUUUCUGUGCUGAUUCUUCUAAAAGUUGAAAGCGUUUUGUAGCCUGGAUGCCAUAUGACCCGUCACGACUUGAGAAGCAAGCGACUGGAUUUGCUUCUUGGCAUCUGAGUUACAUCGAAAGAAAAAAAUGGAGUGAGUGGAUGAUUCGAUCAAACUUUCACGUCGAACCUCUCCGGCAUUUGGUGAAUCCGAUGAUGUUGGCAACUCCGAGCGUGAGACAAAUCCCCACGAUCAGUAGAUAGUCGAAGUUGAACUUAAUGAGCGCGACAAGGCCCAGAGCUAGCCAUAUCCCAGGCUGUGAAACAAAACUAAGAUCUCUCCUAAAAAAAUAAAGUGGAGAGAGAGAUAGAAACUUACAGCAAUGUAGAGCGUCCACCAAAAGAGCCAUGUAUCCUUCUUGUUGAGCCUCUCCAGAGACUGAAAGGGGAAGAACCAUUCAAAGCUUGUAGCGGUGAAAGAGAGAAGAAAGAAAAAUUUCUUUGUGCGUACCUGUUGAUCCAGCGACUCAAAUCGCCACACACUCUCGCCUUGGUCAUCGAUCUCAUUCCACCAGCGCAGCCCCACCAGGAUUCUACCGCUCACGUUCUUCACCACCCAGAAAUCCAGCGCCGCCAAAAGGACGGUGACCACGAACUGGAUGAUGAAGCUGCUGACGAAGAAGGAGCAGAGGAUGUAGAAUGCGAUCGCGGAUCCCUGCCAGGCGAGCGAAUGAAGAGAGAGAGAGAGAGUGAGAAUGGCGCGAUCUAAGAUGAGAAUUUCGAGAGAGACCUUGAAGACGACGUGGAAGAACGCCGUGAGUGGAUUCGAGUAGUUUUGCUGCGGCUGGCCCUCCUCCGCCUGCGCACAAGGCAAGGAUUGAAAUUCACGACGCCGGAAGCGCGGAUCUGCAAACUCACCAUGGAUGGAAUCGCCACUCGCCGAGCUCCAGAUCGUAAAACCCUAGAAGAAGGCCGGGUGACGUGGCAAAGUGCCGCGUCAGCGUCCCAGCCACGUCCGUAACGUUCCGUCCGUACAUAAAAGCCGUGCAAACGUACAAAACUUUUAUUUUACAAAACUGGAAUUUUUCCUUGCCCCGUUCGAGAGCUUGUUGGACAGCGCCGGCUUGUCUUUGGCGACGUAUUCGUUCGUAACGUGGAACUCUCCGCGAGAAAGCUCCGUGGAAAUCUGGGAAGAACGAUGAGAAAGAGAAAAGGAGAGCGAGUUCUUCGAUUCAUACCUUGAGUGUUAGUAGAACAUUUAGCGCGGAGCACAGCUGAUUCAUUCGCCUCCUCCCGCGGGUCUUGAGGUAAUCGUGCAUGACGGGAUCCACUCGAAGCGUCAUCGACGGCCACCUCGUGCUCUUGCUAAAGCUGUUCUUCCGGUUGGCCUGGCAAGGACGAAACGAGCGUUUGAUCAGUUUUAAAGUUCUCUAGAGAUGUUACCAGGAUCUUUUUGACUGCUCUCUCAAUCUUCGAGAGCGUCAUUUCUACCGACUCGAUGCGUCCAGUACCGCCGCAGCAGCUGCAUGAAUCAGUGACCCUCGAGGUGACGCUCGGCCGGUCCUGAAAGUUCCAUAGCAAGUCAAGCACCACGAAGAGAACUGAUACACAACAAGAUUAAGUACCCGUGCUCUUGUCAUUUCCAUGAGUCCGAACUCUGAAAUUUCCGAGAUGACAACUUUAGACCGGUCCCGCUCAAUGGCCUUGCGCAUUUCUUCGAAAACAAGCCUUUCGUGACCUGCAGAUAUACCACAAUACCUCAGCUCGCUGCCAAACUAUCGAGUCCAGAGGCUUACUUGGAUCCUCCAUGUCUAUGAAGUCAACAACUAUAAUCCCACCAAUAUCUCGUAGCCUCAGCUCUGUCGCAAUCUGCGGCUCAUUCCGUAUGAUCAGAAAAUCACAGAGAUUAUGAUGGUUUUUACCUUUCGAGCAGCAGCGAGAUUUACUUCUAAAACUGCUUCUCGUUGAGAUGUCGCAUCACCGAGCAUUCCCACGCCACCAUUUACAUCAAUAGAUACGAGAGCUUCGGUUUCCUCCAACACCAAAUAUGCACCGUUUGGUAGUUCUACCCUGCAGGGAGAACGAAAGCGAAAGAUGACCACUUUUGCAAGAAACACCAAGCACCUACCGCUUGCUAGAUGAUUUCUCAAUUUCUGCUUCAAGGUUGAAAGCCUCGAAGAUAGGCUCUUUGCCAGAGUAAAGUUCCACACGAUCACAUAAGUGAGGUGCUAUUUCUUGGAGGUAAGCUGUAACCUGAAAAGAAGAAAACACAAAGAAAUAUAAGUUUCUUAUCUACGUCCAAAAGUCGUCACCUCUUGGUAUGUUUGAGACGAAUCCACGACAAACCUUUCAACCUGUAAAUAAUCGUUCAAAGAAAGAAGAUAGUAUACUGUGACAAACCUCAUUGUUGAAGAGAUCACGAACUGUCCUGAGCGUUUGUCCCAUGGCCCUUUGUAGCAACACAGGGACCGGGUCUUUUCCACCAGCAGCAGCAGCAACCUCCGCUCUCUCCAGAAUACUUUUCCACGUCUCCAUGAGGCGUGCCAAAUCCUUCUCGAGCUCUUCACGGCUGCGGCCAACAGCCUCAGUCCUCACGGUAAGACCAAAUCCAGGAGGCUGCAGCUCUCUGGCAAGCUGCUUAAGCCGACUUCUUUCCAGCCCGUUAAUCUUGCGAGUAACUCCAAUGGUCGAAACUUGAGGCACCAGUACCUGCACUACAUCUCCAACUUCACGCAUUUAUUCUCUAAAAAAAAGAGCUGGAGGCACUUACCCAGUAUCGUCCCGCCAAAGCCACAGUUGCAGUAAGCUGUGGUCCUUUCUGCCGAAGAGCCUCUUUCUUCACUUGCACGACCAUCAAAGUUCCUCUCUUGACUUUCCUCCAUGCACCGAUCUUCCGCAGGACAGUAGCCGGCUUUACGUUUGUCUUUCCAUCGCUCUGUUCCAUCUCCUCUCCGUUUGGAUCGUCCACAGUUUCUUCAAUUUCCUCUUCAUUCACGUCGAUAACUAUCCCAUCCUUGUUUCUCAAACCGUCCUCUUCGUUCCCCUGAGCUUUGUCACCGUAGAAGACGUGAGGGUAUUGGUGCAUGUUAACUUCCAGCAAUGCCGUUCUGGAAGAUCCAAUCUCCACAAAAAUCCCGUUCAUGCCUGGGAGGAGCUGCUUCACAACGCCGAGGUAGACAUUGCCAACUUGGAAGUUCGAGUUGACAGGCUCGAGCAGUAGCUGGACGAGCUUCUUGUUCUCGACGAUCGCAAUUCGCUGCAUCGUGCACUCGGAGGAGUUGAUGAAGAUCUCCACUGCUACAUCGCGAGCUUCCGGAACUUCCUGGCUCUCGCUCAGGAAAAUGCUCUCGAGCAGCCAUGGCUCCUCCCUUGGAAACACCUUCCGCUUCGGGAAAAAUCUAAAGUCCGGCCACUUGGUCGCGGUUUCGCUCGAGACACUUGCCUGAUCAUCUUCUCCCUUGGAAGAAAAGUCUCUGAAAGCUUCGAGUUCUGCUACAGCGAUGAAAGGAUCUUCCUCUCCAAAAACCUUUUGAUCCGAGAGUUGCAACGCGGCCAGGAACGGGUCUUCUUCUCCAAAAGUUGGAACUCUCGAGACAUGGAGAGCUCUAACUUCUGAGGGCGAUGAGUCGUGUAGAGACGGGACCUGGACAACGUAAGAGUUCUCCAAAGAUCGUCCUGGUAGCACCUAGAAAUUCUAGAGGAAAUGAAUCGAGCUUGUGAAAAUCUCUACAAUCACGGACGAACCUGUGAGCCAUUCACUAGCGUUGGAGCUUCAGCUAUGCUCGCUCUGGCCGCUCCAUUCCCAUGAAACAGCCGAAGAGACGAGGAAGAAGAACUCUCGGCCCAGGGAUCUUCCUCGAAGAGAACGCGCUGGUCGCCCUCGGCUCUCCUGUGCGCCCGGGGAAUGUGAAGGAAUUCCGCGCCUGGAAUCCCGAAAUGCCGAUCCCUGAGAUGCCUGCGCUGAGAAUCCGCCACGGAAUUCUUGGAGCUCAACCUGGACGAGGAAGGAAACAGCGCUUCCGCGAGGAAUGGAGCAGCGACGUGGAUUGUAGGCGCCAUUUCUCACCAGAGCAAGCGAUUCCAUCGCUCAUUGUCAGCGAUCCGCGAGCAGCUUAUCCAUAUUUCGACACGCAUUUUUUAGGGUUUAUGCGGCUAGGUUGAAGGCAGCCACGUCAUCCAAGUAGCUGACAUGGCGGACACCACGUCUGACGUGGCGAAGGGACAACGGUCGGAUCGUUUACUUGAUAGUUCCGUUAUACAGAGGUAGAGGCGAUCGAUUGAUUCAUUCGUUCUCUCCAGCUCGAAGCUAUGGCGGAUUUUCGUGCCGCAAUCCCAGUUCCAGGAGGAAGGAUUGAGAGCUUGCAAUGGCGCCGACCAGGAAUUCCUGCUAAUCGACACCACAGGAAGAAAUGGAGAACGCUAGCAAUGGCUCGGGACGAUUCUAGCAGGAAGAAGAACGAAUUUCCUCUCAUUCUCGACGCGAAUCUCUCCUCCAGAAUGGCAGCGUUCCAAUGCGCCCUAUCGUCCACUGCCGAGAACAACGAGACGACACACUGCCGCAGGAAUUUCACCUCGAGCAUCCAAUCUCUGGUCCAACACAGCGAUAGCGCGCAGAGGCACUGCGAGGCCUUCCAGGCAUCGCUGGAUUCGAUCGAAGCUCGCCUCGCGCUGGCUCCCAGCGCCUCUGAGAUUUCCAGCCUCCAGGUAAGAAUCCAUCCCCUGCUCCACAAAAUAUUUCAUCGUCUCCCUGUUCUUGCAGACGCGCCUGGAGCGAGCAUCGUCCUCCUUGCUCCCCCAAUCCGGCAUCGAGCAGUUGAUCCGAGAGGCCGAGCUCUUGGAAUCGAGGCUCGCAGAGAUUCCAAGGGCGGAAGAAAUCGAGGCCCUAGACACUAGAAUCCCCGAAAUGCUGAUGAAGAGAUCGUGGGAAAGAGUCGGCGAUGGUGCCAGGAGGUUGCGGCGAGCGAUGGAUAGAGCUGAGAUCGCGUGGCUGCGGCAUCUAAAGGAUACCGCCUCGCAGCUCAUCGGGAAUAAAUCUUAGGGUUUAUAGCUAUUUGUCUGGAGCAUUUUUCUAGGGUUCAUGGAGACCUCUCUCAGAUUUCGAGGCGAUGAGAGGCAACUCCGGCUCCACGCGAAGGAGAAUUUCCUGCUCGACAGCUCCUUUUGCCUCCAGGCGCGCAUUUAAUCGAUCUCUAUCGCGCACUUCUUCUCAAAAUCUCUCGUUUCUUUUCUCUCGCAGGUCCACGGCUAUCUCAACACGCACAACGGCAGGGCGGGAUGCAUCGCGCAGCUCAAGAGGAAAUUCCUCCCCGAGGCAUCGUCUCUCUCCUCUGCAAUCGCUGGAUCGAUCGAAUCGACCCUCUCUCUCUCAAAAUUUGUUUUGCAGCUUCUCACGAGCUUGGAUGUGGGCGCGCGAUACGACACCGAUCACAAGGAAUUUACGUACGAUGUGCGCGGCAAGAAGACGCUGCCUCUCACGGACAAUGGAUUGCUCAGCGUGGAUCUCAAGGGAGGAUUCAACUUUAAUCCUCGAUUGAAACUGGUGAGCGCGCUGGUUCUAGAUCAUUGUCCCUUCAAUCGCCCUUCGAUCGUCCAGGGAAAAGCCAGGGGAGCGAUAGAGCUCAGCUACAAGGUCUUCAACUUCACGGAAGAUCAAGAUCUCAAGCUCAAAAUCGGCUAUGAUCCUUUCAAACAGGCAAGAACAAACUUUUUUUCGUGUGAUCGAUCGAGAUUUCUUUUGUUCUUGCGCAGAAGCCAUACUUGCAAUUGAGGGAGAACAAUUGGACAUUCAAUGCCGACAUAAACGGUGCCUGGAACAUCAUCUACGACCUGUAAUUCUCGAGAGCGAGAGGGAACGAACGAUUCUUUCAAUCAUCUCAUUCAUCUUAGCAGCGAAGAAGGGAAGGGAAAAUUUUUCAGAGGUCUUACUUGCGUUUCUUGCUGGCACUGGCUAGUUCUUCCUCCAAUUCUUCUUCUUCCUUCUGCUCUGGAUCGGCUACUUCCAGCGCGCAGUGAUGCCGGAGCAUGUAAUCGCCCAGUAGCUGCAUCGCUUUGCUCUUGAGAUCCACCAGCGCCGCCGAGAGCGAUGGAUUACUCUCGGAUUGGAUCGAUUGGGCCUCCGCCUCGAGCCGGAAGCUCGCCAUAGCCGCCGCCAUUCUAUCUGUCUUCUUAGCCC